This 46867-nucleotide long non-coding RNA is filed under the name Malus domestica (apple). RNAcentral describes it as "long non-coding RNA (MDOM_LNC001361)". The record is from RNAcentral. Lineage: Eukaryota; Viridiplantae; Streptophyta; Magnoliopsida; Rosales; Rosaceae.
GUCAUGGCCAUGUGGUGUUUGUUGUGCGGAAGUGGCAUUCGACUGUAAGUGAAUAGUAAAACAGAACAGAAACAAAACCAACAUCAACAAGAACACCAAGAUUUAUACUGGUUCGGCAAUGCCUACAUCCAGUUUGGAGACGACGGAGUAUUCCACUAUAAUCAAUGAGAACAUACAAUAGUGUUAUCACUCAAUUUCCCAAAGACCCAAAUAACCCAAGCUCUCACACUUACAAUAGGAAGAAAAAAAAAACAAAAAUACAAAGCAAGACAAUUUGAGAAAAUUCUUCUCUAUGCCGAAUGGCUUCUUGCUAUUUUUCUCUCUUCCUUUUUCCUAUCACUUCUCAAUGCUUAUGGGCUGCACCUUGCUCCCUUUUUAUAGCCAAAGAAAAAGCUUCUCAAAGACAUCAAUGGCCAAAGGCCUACCAUCAAGUCAAAAGAGUUAGGCACAAAUGCAUGUAAUUUUUUUGUUUCCCACAUGUAGCAUGCCAACCAACAAUUUUGACCACAAAAGUAGCCGAAAUCAAUUGUUGGUUUUAGACUACUUUGUUUGAGCCAAUAAUCAACAAUCUCCACCUUGGCUCAAACCCUCUAAGUAGAACUCCUAAUAGUCGUCUCCCAAUCCCCCAUGGGGCAAUCAACAAAUUUUACAAAUGCCAAUCAAGUCUAAGCAGUGCUUAAACUUGUGCAAUGAAACUGGCUUUGUUAACAUAUCCGCAGGAUUGUUAGCGGUCUCAAUCUUCUGAAGAAGAAUAUCUCCCUCGUCAAUAACCUCACGAACAAAAUGGAACCUCACAUCAAUGUGUUUCGUACGUGCAUGAUGAACUUGAUUCUUUGCUAAAUGAAUAGCACUCUGACUGUCGCAAUGAACAUCCACAUGGUCUUGUUGAACCCCUAAGUCAUCAAGCAACCCUUGAAGCCAGAUGGCUUCCUUUAUAGCUUCUGUCACAACCAUGUAUUCUGCCUCAGUAGUCGACAAAGCAACUGUAGAUUGCAGAAUCGACCUCCAACUUACUGGACCUCCAGCAAUAGUGAAUACAAAACCAGUAGUGGACCUACGCUUGUCCAAAUCACCUGCGUAAUCAGAAUCCACAUAUCCAACAACACAUUGACCAGUAACUUUAUCCUGCUGGAACAAUAAACCAACAUCCACAGUACCCAGAAUAUACCGUAGAAUCCAUUUCACAGCUUGCCAAUGCCCUUUUCCUGGAUUAUGCAUAUAUCUACUGACAAUACUAACAACUUGUGAAAUAUCAGGCCUAGUACACACCAUAGCAUACAUCAAACUACCAACAACAUUUGCAUAAGGAAUUUGAGCCAUGUACUGACUCUCUUCAACAGUUUUAGGAGACAUAGAAGCGCUAAGUUUGAAAUAAGAGGCAAGAGGUGUACUAACCGGUUUUGAAUUUUCAUUCAUCCUGAAACGUUGUAGUACCUUCUUCAAAUACUGCUUCUGACACAGACUAAUCUUGCCCUUCGCUCUAUCUUUUUCAAUUUCCAUACCUAGUAUCUUCCGAGCUUCUCCCAAGUCCUUCAUCUCAAAUUCAUUACUUAGUUGAGUCUUCAACCUUUCAAUCUCCACUUUGCUCUUACAUGCUAUAAGCAUAUCAUCAACAUAUAAAAGCAGAUAAAUGAAGGUUCCAUCUUGUAGUUUGCGAAAGUAUACACAAUGGUCAUAGUGACUUCUUGUGUACUUUUGCCCGAUCAUAAAUCCAUCAAAUUGCUUGUACCAUUGUCUUGGAGACUGCUUCAAGCCAUACAAUGAUUUUUCCAAUUUGCAAACCCAAUUUUCCUUUCCAGCAACCUUAAAACCUUCUGGCUGAGACAUAUAAAUCUCUUCCUCCAAAUCACCAUGUAAGAACGCAGUCUUGACAUCAAGUUGGGCCAACUCAAGAUCAAACUGCACAACCAAAGCCAACAGAAUACGAAUAGAAGAAUGUUUUACUACAUGAGAAAAUACCUCAUUGUAGUCAAUGCCUUCCUUCUGAGCGUAGCCUUUAGCUACCAAUCUGGCUUUGAAUCUUACAUUGUCUUUUCCCAAAGAUUCCAUCUUUUUGGCAUACACCCAUUUACAACCAAUUGCUUUCUUCCCCUUUGGUAACUGAACCAGAUUCCAAGUCUCAUUUUUAUGAAGAGAUUUCAUCUCCUCAUCCAUAGAUUUCUUCCACAACUCGCACUUUGAACUCAUGACAGCUUCUUUGUAGGCGGAUGGAAUGUCAUCUUCAAUAACAGGAAGUGCAUAUGCCACAAUAUCAGUAAAUCGAGCAGGCUUUCGAAUUUCCCUUCUAGAUCUUCUGGUUGCAAUAUAGUCUUGUUGCUGUGGAUGCUCUUGGGUAGGUGCCUCCCCUUCAUCAUCCUCGUCCUCAUCAUCAGAAUUAAUUGUAGGACUGGUGUUUGUAACAUCAUACCUUACUGGAACAACUGGAGUCUUCAGUAACUCCACCUGCUUUGAGCUACUCAUGGUCUCGGUCGCUUCAGUUUCACCUUCAUGCUUGUUCUGAUUAACCAUAGCAACCUCAUCAAAAGUCACAUCUCUGCUUACAACAAAUUUCUUCUCAUCUGGACACCAGAGUUGGUAUCCCUUCACGCCAGUGCUAAAGCCCAUAAAUAGAGCUUUCUUUGCUCUUGGAUCCAACUUGCUUUCUCUGACAUAAUAGUAAGCAGGACAACCAAAUAUGUGUAAAAACUUGUAAUCAGUACAAGGUUUACCAGACCAUACCUCAAUGGGCGUUUUGCCCUCAUUCGCAGCAGCUGGCAAUCGAUUAAUGAGAUGGCUUGCAUAAGUGAGUGCCUCAGCCCAAAAUGCCUUGCCUAAUCCAGCAUUAGACAACAUACACCGAACUUUCUCAAGCAAAGUACGGUUCAUGCGCUCCGCCACCCCAUUCUGUUGCGGUGUCUCCCCAACCGUGAAGUGCCUCACAAUACCCUCAUCUUGACAAACUUUCAAGAAAGGAUCAGACUUAUAUUCACCCCCAUUGUCUGAUCUGAGAGUCUUGAUCUUUCGACCGCUUUGCGUUUCAAUCAUCUUUUUCCACUUCAGGAAUAUCUUAAAGACUUCAUCUUUACGCUUCAUGAUGUACACCCAUAUUCUUCUAGAGAAGUCAUCAAUAAAGGAGACAAAAUAAUGGCUACCUCCCCAAGAUGCAUUCUUGGAAGGUCCCCAAACAUCAGUGUGAACAUAAUCAAUAAUGCCCUUAGUGUGGUGAAUAGCAGUGCCAAAUUUUACUCUAGUUUGCUUACCUAACACACAAUGCUCACAGAAUUCCAAUUUGCAUGCCUUUGCACCUUUCAAUAAGCCUUGCUUCACUAAUUCUUGCAACGUUUUUUCACCAGCAUGCCCAAGACGCAUAUGCCAUAACCUCGUGGUGUCUGUGUUAUCUGCGUCAGCAGCUUCGGUGACAGCUGCUCCACCAAUAACUGUACUCCCCUGCAAGAAAUACAAGUUAUUUCGUCUUGUACCUUUCAUCACCACCAGUGCCCCGUACACAGCUUUAAGAACUCCACCCUCCAUGGUGAUCUUGAGACCCUUGGAUUCCAAUGCACCCAGUGAGAUGAGAUUUUUCUUCAUAUCCGGUACAUACCGAACAUCACUUAAUUCUCUGACUGUUCAUCAUGCAUCUUCAAACAGAUUUUACCUAUCCCUUGUGUUUUGCAGGCAUUAUUAUUACCCAUCAAAACAACUCCACCAUCCAGCUCCUCGAAAUUAGAAAACCAUUCCCGAAUGGGACACAUAUGAUAGGUGUAACCUGAAUCCAAAAUCCACUCAUUGGAGUGACCAUCAGCAUAUGAACUAGCCAAAGCAAACUCGAAAUCAUCAUCUCCAGAUUUUGCAAUAUUUGCUUCAGAACCCGCUUUCUCCUUCUCUUUGUUCUUCAAUUUGGGGCAGUCUUUCUUCCAAUGCCCCUUUUGGCGACAAAAAGCACAUUCAUCUUUAGCAGGAAAACUUCCCUCGUGACUUUGAACGAGAUUUUUCCCCCGCUUCCCAGAUUUUCUUUCCUCUGUUCGACCCCUUGCAACAAAUGCCUCGGUUUGUGAAUUGUGAGUCUUCAGUUCCUUCUUACGACACUCAUGAUUCACCAAUGCUGCAGACACCUCAUCAAGUUUCACCUCGGAUUUUCCAUACAACAGAGUAGUUGUCAAAUGAUCAUAAUCAUCAGGCAAUGAAUUUAACAAACAUAGUGCCUUGUCCUCGUCAGGAAUUUUCACAUCAAGGUUUGCUAAAUCAACAAGUAUUUUAUUAUAAUCAUUGAGGUGUUCGUGCAUAGAGAUACCUGGACGAUACUGAAAUCGGAAGAGUCGCUUCUUCAAGAAGAGACGAUUUUCUGCGCUCUUGGUCAUAUACUUCUCCUUCAAUUUCGUCCAUAACUCCUUAGCAGAAGUUUCCUUCAUAUACGGGUAUUUCAACUCCUUAUCAAGGAACGAUCGAAUAGCAGCACAAGCAUGAAGAUUAAUUCGCGUCCACUGCUUGUCAUCAAUAUCUUCUGGUUUAUCUUCCAGAACCAUAUCCAACUCUUGUUGAUACAACACAUCCAUAACUUCACAUUGCCACAUACCAAAAUUAUUAGAGCCAUUGAAUUUAUCAACCUCUAACCUUGUAGUAGUGGUUGGAUGUCUAUUGGAUGAAGACGAUGCUGACCCAUUCUUUACAGAUUCAUCUUUAUCUCCAGCCAUCUACUCGGCACUAUUCACAAAUACGGCACUGUUCACAGAUACUGUAGCAGUUCACUGUUCACGGAACUGUUGCGUUAACACUAUUCACGGAACUGGGCUCUGGUACCACUUGUUGUGCGGAAGCGGCAUUCGACUGUAAGUGAAUAGUAAAACAGAACAGAAACAAAACCAACAUCAACAAGAACACCAAGAUUUAUACUGGUUCGGCAAUGCCUACAUCCAGUUUGGAGACGACGGAGUAUUCCAGUAUAAUCAAUGAGAACAUACAAUAGUGUUUAUCACUCAAUUUCCCAAAGACCCAAAUAACCCAAGCUCUCACACUUACAAUAGGAAGAAAAAAAAAACAAAAAUACAAAGCAAGACAAUUUGAGAAAAUUCUUCUCUAUGCCGAAUGGCUUCUUGCUAUUUUUCUCUCUUCCUUUCUCCUAUCACUUCUCAAUGCUUAUGGGCUGCACCUUGCUCCCCUUUUAUAGCCAAAGAAAAAGCUUCUCAAAGACAUCAAUGGCCAAAGGCCUACCAUCAAGUCAAAAGAGUUAGGCACAAAUGCAUGUAAUUUUUUUGUUUCCCACAUGUAGCAUGCCAACCAACAAUUUUGACCAUAAAAGUAGCCGAAAUCAAUUGUUGGUUUUAGACUACUUUGUUUGAGCCAAUAAUCAACAGUGUUUUGGGUACAACCGUGCAAGAGAGCUUUUCGCGGAGAUUCGAAGACUUAAACUAGGCGAUGGAGCUAGAACCCGUGACACUGGUCCUUGCCAUGAAAGUUCUUCUCGUUAACGCACCAUACUGGAACGUAUACCAUCAAAUCAACAAUGGCAUGCAGAGCAAGGAGCUAUAUAUUGAAACAUAAAACUUGUUAAUCCAAAGCCACUUCUCAGCAUCCAAAACUGAUAUAUACAACAUACCAAGGACAAGGACUAAACAACCUUACCUCAUAAAAACUGAAGUAAAAAGGAAAAUAACAACAGUAAGAGUACUAUUAACACAAUUUAGAAAAUCUUAAACGAAUUGCAACCGAGUGAGUGAGCUUCGAUCUUGAACAAAUCGCAACUGAGAGAGAGUGAGCUUCUCUCUUGAACGAAUCGCAACUGAGAUAUAUAUGGCUCCAUUGCAGUUCCUAUAUAUCUGAAGCAACACAUUCGGCAAUGGAAGAAGUUUUCUGGAGUAGUAACUUAUAGCCUGAGCUUCAAGUAAAUGAUUUGACAAGUCCAACAGAGAAAAAAUUAUCUUGGUUCCACCCCAAAUCGAAUAUGGAUUGGAUCAAAUCAAACAAAUGCUUCUUUUGACUUUUUGGCAUAGGUGAAGCUGAACUAACUAAGCUAUGUCUAUCCAUAAAUUUGAGUAAGUAACUAAGAUAUAUAUGAACCAUGUCCCCAAAUUAAAAGGAUAUCACACUAGUAAUCAUUUUAGUUUAUCUCAAUUUUCAUGUUCAUUGAUGUAAUUUCAUUUUUCUUAACACAAACUAAAACUUUUUCGACUCAUAUUUUUAAGGGGGCAUAGAAGUGAAGAAGAAAUCGAAAAUGAAAUCAAAACUAAUAAACUGUGAGUAAGGGUGAACGCUCUUAUUAAAUUGAGAUACAAGUUCCUUGCAUCCAAACUAGGUUUUUCAAAAUGGACAGGGAUCCUCUCCGGAUCUCUUCCAUCAAAUCUACCAAUUCGGACCUUUAAAAUUUAAUCAAACGGCUAAAAAUAGGGGUUCUUUUAAAAGUUAUAAUAACUUUAGCAGUUAGAUCAAAUUUCAACAAGCCAAAUUGGUGGAUUUGGUAGAAGGGAUUCAGAGAUGAUCCCUUUUUCUUUCAAAUUAAUGAUGACGUGGACAAGAAUGAAAAUGUCAACUCAUUUAAAGUGCAAACAAAACUAAACUCCAAGGGUAAAAUUAAAUGAAAAAAAUUAUAGGGACAAAAAUAAAAUCCAAAUAAUUACAGGGACUAUUAGUGCAAAUUCCUUUUUAUCAACUCAGUAAUCCAUUUGGGUGCGUUUGUUGCCCCGGACUAUCUCGGACUGGACUAACUUUAGGGACUAAGCUGGACUGGCUUGGCUUGGACUAAGCAGGAUAAGAAUAGUGAAGUGUUUGGUACAGUAUUGGACUAAACUAUAGACUAAAAUAUUUUAGGACUCAAAUCGUUUUUUUUUUUCAUUUUUAAUCCACACUUACUUAACAAAAGAAAAACUAAAAACUCAGUUUCAAAAAAAAAAAAAAAACUAAAAACUAAAAACUAAUAAAAAAAUAAAUAAUAAAAGAUCAAAUCCAGUAGAACACCACCGUUUUAUCCUCUCUCCUCCAAAAUUGACGAAACCGGAAUUUGACAAUUUGUUCCAUCGUCUUCAAUCUUCAUCUGGGCAGUGCUCUUUCAGCCCUCCCAUGCGCCGACCCACUCACCCAUCAGAAAUAGGACACAAUUGUCAAGCUACCAAGGCCGAGCUUCAACAAGAGCUUUGAAAAUUUUUAUCGGAAUUUCUUGACUGCAUCCAAUGGGCACAACAUCAGCAUGGAAAAAAAGGGACAGCCAGAUGGUUCUUCUUCAAUUCAAGAGAAAUAAUUAUCAUUUUUUAAGGCAAAUUGACCAAGUUCAUGAGCAGCUCUAAUUACCAAGUUCAUCCCCCAAUUCCCAUAUUGAUCCGAGAGAGAAAGGAGACUUGUUCUGGAAGCUCACCAGAGGAUCAAUAGCUUUGACGAAGAACAACGGUUCGCUCCCACCAAUUCACGCAAGGAGACGGCGAGGGAAGCAGCGUAUUGAGGUUCUUAGCAAUCCCAUGCUUUUGGGUCGGACUAAUUAGGACGACUUAACGAGGCUGGUAGUCCAUGCGAGUCCGGGCUUGUCCCAUUUAACUUAGUCCAUAACAAUGCCAAACGUGGGUUAUUAAUCUUAGCUAGUCCAAUCCUAGCUAAGAAGGUCAAACAAACGAGCCCUUAAGUUUAAACCACCGCCCAAUCUCAUCUCAGAAACCCUUCUUCGACCAACACAAAAAUCUCAGAAACCCUAACGCUGCCAAUCAGGUUCGCAUUCGAUUCUAUCCAUCCGCUAUUUUAUUUUUCCAAUUCAAUUUGUUCUUAUUUUUUGCCCGAUCGAAGGUUAGGGUUUUUCAAAAUUCGUGUUCUAAUCGCGUUCUUAGGGUAAAUUAAUCGUAAAUUAUUGCUUGUUUGAUUAAUAUUUGAUUGUUAAAUUGAAUAUUUUGAGUUCAAUCUGAUUGGGUAUCGACAGGAAUAUAUGAACUCGAUUUAUUUGUUUAAUUUUAAAUUUUGUUAUUCGGAAGUUUUGAAUUUAUUUAUUUAUUUUGGUACCCUGUGAAAUUGGAACAGUUUGGGGUUGGAGGAGGAGGAGAUUAUCGACCAUGACGUCUCUGAAGGAGCUGAUUCCGCCGCCGGCGGCAACCACAACGACUUAUUACGACCACUCGAACGAUCCGUGGUUCAAGCAGCGGUUCAGUUCUGCCGAGGCAGAAAGAUCUGCAGCUGUCGUUAAACCUAAUCCUGUGCCUCAGUACUUGAAACGUCAAGGCUUUGUUCCUAGGAAGGUGGAGGAUUUCGGGGAAGGCGGUGCUUUCCCGGAGAUUCACAUUGCUCAGUACCCUCUUGGCAUGGGCAGGGACAAGUUGUCGAAACCCGGGACGAAGAUUCUUCCAGUUUCGGUUGAUGCGAAUGGGGAGAUUGCGUAUGAUGCUAUUGUUAAGCAGAAUGAGAACUCGAGAAAGAUUGUGUAUUCUCAGCAUAAGGAUAUUGUGCCAAAAAUUUUGAAGGAUGCGGAAGAGGAGAUGGAAGAGGAUGAGGAUGAGGAGGAGCAGAAGGUGAUUGAAGAAACGACGGCAGAAACAAAAGCUGCGCUUGAGAAGAUUGUGAAUGUGAGAUUGAGCGCUGCACAGCCGAAAAAUGUGGCCAAGCAGUCGUCAGAAUCGCAAUAUAUCAAGUAUAAACCGUCACAGAAAUCGGAGGCAUUUAAUUCUGGUGCCAAGGAGAGGAUUAUCAUGAUGAACGAGAUGCCUGUGGAUCCACUUGAGCCUCCGAAGUUCAAGCAUAAGCGUGUUCCGAGGGCUUCUGGAUCCCCACCUGUCCCGGUCAUGCAUUCCCCUCCUCGGCCGGUGACUGUGAAAGACCAGCAGGAUUGGAAGAUUCCACCUUGUAUUUCAAACUGGAAGAACCCAAAAGGGUAUACAAUUCCAUUGGACAAACGUCUUGCAGCUGAUGGGAGAGGCCUUCAAGAUGUUCAGAUUAAUGAUAAUUUUGCAAAGCUCUCUGAGUCUUUGUAUGUUGCGGAGCAGAAGGCUAGAGAGGCAGUUGCUAUGAGAUCUAAAGUUCAGAAGGAAAUGUUGAUGAAGGAGAAAGAAAAGAAAGAGCAGGAGUUGAGGGCAUUAGCGCAGAAAGCGCGUUCUGAGAGAACAGGUGCUGCGCCCCCUGCAGCUGUUCCAAUGGCUUCUGACAGAACAGCCAUGGAUACUGAUAUGAGAGGGGAUUAUGGGCGUCCAACAAGGGAAAAGGAAAUGGAUUAUCCAAAGGGGACAAGAGAAAAGGAAGAAGAGAGGAUUGGGAGGGACAAGAUCCGCGAAGAGCGGCGCAAAGAGAGAGAAAGGGAGAGAAGGUUGGAGGCCAAAGAUGUAGCAGUGGGGAAGAAAAGUAAAAUUACGAGAGAUAGAGAUCGUGAUAUUAGCGAGAAAGUUGCUCUUGGCAUGGCUUCGGCGGGAGCAGGCAAAGGGGGAGAGGUUAUGUAUGAUCAGAGGCUAUUCAACCAGGAGAAAGGAAUGGACUCCGGGUUUGCCACUGAUGACCAGUACAAUGUUUACGACAAAGGCUUGUUUACUGCUCAGCCGACACUCUCAACUCUAUACAGGCCUAAAAAGGAUGUUGAUGGUGAAAUGUAUGGCGGUGCUGAUGAGCAGUUGGAUAAGAUUAUGAAGACUGAUCGCUUCAAACCCGACAGAGGAUUUGGAGGAGCUGCUGAGAGGGCAGGGCCAAGAGAUAGACCAGUCGAGUUUGAGAAGGAUGCUGUGGAAGAAGCUGAUCCAUUUGGUCUUGACCAGUUCUUGACAGAGGUGAAGAAGGGCGGCAAGAAAGCGCUUGAUAAGGUUGGAACAGGAGGAACAAUGAGAGCAAGUGGCGGCUCUUCCAUGCGAGAUGCCUAUGAAGGCGGCUCCAGCAGAACUCGUAUUGGCUUUGAAAGGGGUCGCUAAGCUGUUCGGAACUGCAAGUCUUUAAAUUUACGUAUCUAUUUUGGUCUGGAAAGUUAUGAAUGUGGCUCUUUAGUUCUUGAAAGCAAUUGGCUGCCUAUGUUUGUGGAGAUAAACGUUCAUACUUCAAAUUGUAAGAUGUUUUUACAAUUUUCUUUGAUGCAGUUUUUGGUUACCAUCCCUACUUUAUGUGACUUGUGCAAAAUUUCGUUCGAUCUCUUUGGAAUAUUUCAUAGUUAUUGCAUCAUCCCGGAGUUCUGAUUCCGAAAAAGUCAUCAUGCACUCUUCGGGUUGCUUUAUAAGGUAAAGAACAUUUGAUAGAACGUUGCUAAUACACAACGUGCAACGUACGAGUGUGCACGGAUAACACAUCAACAAUGAAAUGGCAAUGCGAAGAGAUGUUUGGUGUGCCGAGGACGCUUGUUGUAUCGGACCGUGUUGUCGAUACACUAAAAAUAUCUCGGCGAUGUGGAGGUCGAUGGAGAAGUAAAUCUAGUAUUACAUCUGUAAGUUUAAAGCACCUUCUCGGCAUCCAGAAAUGAUGCAAUCAAAAAGUCAUGUACUAAGGAUUGAUAAAUGAUAGAUUCAACAUUACACACAUAAAUUAGAAGGAUUAAAAGGAAAAGAAGUAAGAGGAGGGUGGUUUAAAUAACUUCAGAAAACAAUACGGAAAAUUCGUUUUAAACAACUUUCGAGUGAGUUCUUGAGCCAUCCAUGAUAUAGAAAUCUAUCGCUAUUUUGCGGAGUCUCUUUUCAAAUUCGGCACUCUGGCGCUCCGGAAGUAGCCUUCCGAGCAACAGUUUACCUGCAAACAACAUCCAUGAAAACUCGAACAUUACAAAUAAGUUCAUUUUAAGGAGGCACUGCCAUAACCACUGGGACAUAGUCGAGAAAGAAUACCUACAUUGUAAUUUUGUAUUUGCGGUGGCGCUCCAUGAAAAUUAUGCUGAGAGAGCUGAAGCCAUGAAUGCUUUUAUGCAAACAUAUGAGAAUCAAUUUGCUCGAUAUUUGGGAAGAUUUGUCUCAAGGUAGUAGCAUAGUUUGGAGACUUUGCCUGCAAUACGAGAUGCAUGACCAAAUAUAAAUAAUUUUAAAAGCAUAUGAAACACAUUUAUCAACAAACCAAACAAAGCAUAUCAACACAGAAAGGAAUGCAGAACCAAUUAUAUAUUUAUGUACAUUGUCGUUAUCUGUUCGACAGUCUUCUUUGUUACUUGAAAUUAGUUCAUAGACACAUAGUAUGGUUUGCCUUCAUGAUAACCCUAAAGGAUGUAAACAUGUAAUAUAUAUCCAGACCUACGAAAUCUUGCAACCACUAUUCUUCCUUUUUCUCUAACGGACUCUGCACUUUCAACAAACAUGUAUGUAUAUCAGAAUAUUGCUGCAGCUGGUAGUACGUUUCGCCACUAUAUUUAUUUGACCAAAGCAUUAGACUUGCAUGAACUCUCGUACCACUUGGCAUUUAUCAACACGGUAAUUUUAAACUUCCUUAAACGGAAUCUAAGCAUGUUAAAUGAAUACAACAGUAAAACUUAAAAUAUAGUACGUUUGCAGGUUACAGAUAAACAUACACAUGGGUUUUUUUCGAGAUAGAUGGUAGUGAGCUUCUCUCUUGAACCAGCAAGAACCUCGGCAAAGCCUUCAAGUGACUCUAUGCUGUUGUCAUUAAGCCAUAGAUCUUCUAACCUAUAGCACAAGAUUCCCAUAAGAAUAUAGAACCGACAAGACCAACAUCAAACCCAAUAGCGAGAAAGAGGUCUAAUACAUACAUUGUUAGGCUUUCUAUACCCUCCACCGAUGUUAGCUUAUUAUUCGAUACAUCCAGGACACGUAGGUUGACUAAUGUUGAGAGGCCUUCCAUUUUUGAAAUACCAUUAUGGCUCAAGUACAACUCCUCUAGAGCAACGCACUCCUGCAAAAGGUAGAACGAUAUAAAGUUUCAAUAUUUAUACAACAAAUGCAUUUGAGAUUUCCGCCUCACACAAAUCGUGGUGGCAAAUCACUUACCUCAAAUCCCGUCAUUGAAGUUAACCGAUUGCUUUGCAAGCUCAGCUUCUUGAUGCAUUUCAACCCACACAAAUUCACCACCUUAAUCCGAUUCCGCCCCAGCCACAGCUCCUGCAAUUUUGUCAAGGUCUGCAAAUUCUCCAUCACCUGAUUUGCAUUUCAUCAUGCAAUCAGAACAAGCCGGAUGCUAGGUUUGCUACAUUAUCAAUAAUUUCCAUGUACAUAAUCUCAAACGCUCAAUAGAACUAACCCGCAAUCGAUUCGAACCGAGCUCGAGAAUCAGAAGCUCGUGGAGGUGCUCAAUUUCUUCAAUCUUGGUGACUUCAUUUUUAGACACGUACAGCUCCUUGAGGGUACUGGUGACCUUGGCCAAUCCAUGUAACAAUGUAAUCUCGUUGAACGAAACGUCGAAAACCAGAAGCUUCGUGAAUAUGCUGACAUCAGGUAUUUUCCCGAGCUUAUUAUCCCUCAGCACCAACUCCUGCAUCCCUCAAAACUGUUAAUUUUCCCGGGAACCAAACAGGCAGUCAAGAAAAUCACAUUCAAUCUUAUUUUCCCGGAAACCAAACAAAUCACCGAGAAAAUCACAUUUAAUUUAUUUUCCCGGGAACCAGACAAACCGCCGAGAAAAACACAUUUAACUUUUUUUAUUUACCUCGAGACCGGAGAGGGCGUCCCAGCCGGAGAUCGGUUCGACGGCGGCGUCUUCGAUGAGGUUCUGACGGAGAGAGAGCUUUUUGAGGUUGGAGAGGGUCGCAAUCCGAGGGUCCAAACCGGUGAGGCGGUUCGCCGUCAGGUCUAACUCUGUUAGACUCGGCGGUAACUCGACCGAGUCGAGGUCGUGGAGCUGGAAGCUGGUGAGAUCGAGGACCGUCGAGGACGGAUCGUCGUCCGCCGUCUGAUCAUCGUGAUCUACGGGAUUCUGACCCGGCGGUGGCGCUUCAGUCUGGUCGGCCAUUGAAGCGAACGGUAGACGCUAGCAUACGUGUUGCGUUUUAUUUUCGUUGGUUUUUAUUUCCCAGGUAUUUAUAUUUUAUUUUAUUUUUGUUGUUUUUGCUUCGCAGCCGGAAAGUUUUGGGCCCCUCAUAUGGGCCGGCCCAAUCGUAAAUUGUUGAGUCAUGUUUAACUAAUAAAUACAUCACUUGAUUCCUUGACGAUGACUUUAGAAUUUAUCUAGUUGAAAUUUAUUGGUAUAAUUAUUAGAAUUAUUCUAAUUAUGGUAUUAUCUUGUGUUUGCUAGCUCAUGAAACUAUAUUAAUUUUAAACUUCUUUUAUCUUUAUUAACAUAUACAAAAUAAGUGGUGACUUGACUUAGUGGUUAGGGUCUUAUUUUUUAACCUAUUGAUUUGGGUCUAAACUAUCUCGUCAUUUUAGUAUAGAAAAUCGUUUAUGCUAUAACAAAAAAAGGAAUAUGAUUCUCUAUAGAUUGUUUUUAUUCGGAUCUUCCGGAUCCUUCACUAUGUCAGUUCAAUCGAAAAUCAAACGAUCAAGAAAACGUUCAAACGACCUUGACGCCAUUAGAAUGAGAAGAAGCUACGAUGACAACAAAAGCUUUAGGACCUUUGCCUCGAGAUCCGCAACAAUGGUGUUAAUGGUAAAAGGGUUGAGAGGGGCGCAUACGUCAAAGAAAACGAUGGCAUUGUCGAGAUUGUAGAUGCGAUUGAUGGCGCCUUGUUCGAGGAAUGAGAAGAAGUUGUGAUGGCUUCGAGGCCUUGUUCCAGGCAAGGGAUGCAAGCAAUCUUGAAGGAUCUAGAUGGAAAGGAUUCGGAGAUGAUCAUUUUCCUAAAAAGAGCUAUAAAAUUAUUUUUUCUUGACCGUUACAAGAUUAUCUCUCUUUUUCAUUAUUUAUUUUUUGGGACGUAUUUUGAAAUCAAGAAAAAAGAGAAGGAAAAAUAAAAUAAAAAGGAAGACAAUGUCGCCUGACGCGUGAUUUGAAAUGAGGAGACCACACGUGCCGCCCUGAUUUGAACCCAAAACCAAAACCCCCCUCUCUCUUCUCUCUCUCUCCUCCCAAUCAGAGCAAGCAGCCAUGGAAGCGAUACUUCGAGACUGUGUCCAGCACAGUCUCCGUGAUUUCAUGCACCGGAACGCCAUUUUCGUAUGCGAACGCCUCUGUGCCGAGUUCCCCUCCGAGGUACCUCUUAUCCACCUACUCUUUCACUCUCUUUCUUUUCAUCGCCUGCUUGUUUGGUUGCCGAGAAAAUCCCAUGAAAGAAAGAGAAAAUGUGAGAUAUGCCGUAUUCGGAAUGAAAUUUCUUCUUUUUCUUGUGUUUGGGGGACAUUACCGCUUCUAUUAUGUUGAUCGACGCUUCGUGUUUAGUUUACCAGUAAUUUGUGAAGAUUUUACUUAUGCCCGAGUAAUUUAGUGUUUUGUAAUUUGAGAACUAGGGUUUUGUCGCUUUAGAAUCUUUAGGGGUUCACAUUUUUUUUUCUGGAACAAAAUGCUUUCUUUUAAGGUUAAUUAUUUACUUUCAGUUUUUUUAUGAGCUUUGAAUUAUUGGAGCUCUGGACUGCAAAGUGUUUGUGCUAGCUCUUUGUGAAUGAAGUAUAAAGGUGUGGGCUUUUAGAUAAUGGGAUUUCUAAAUGGGGUUUACUUACUACAUUGGUGCUAUUUUUGUUAGCAUUAAUCGGAUAGGUUAUGGGAUUUUCAGAAGUUGAUACGAAAUUUGUUAUAUGGCAGACGAAUUUACAGUUGUUAGCUGGCUGUUACUUGCAAAGCAACCAAGCUUAUGCUGUAUAUCAUAUUUUAAAGGGUAAGCAAGUCAUAUUAAGUACUCCCCUUUUUUCAUUGUGGGUUUUCAUUGCGAAUUUAUUAUUUCCAUCAUAGUAUUUCUCAUCCACAUGGACCUCUUUUCUUUUUUUCUGAUGAUUUAUGAAGGAACACAAGUGGCUCAAUGCCGCUACUUGUUUGCACUAUCAUGCUUUCAGAUGGAUCUUCUAAGUGAAGCAGAAGCAGCGUUAUGUCCUGCUAAUGAGCGUGGUGCUGAGGUAUUGAACUCUAUUUUAUUUGGAGCAUGAUUCUAAAGUAAUACUUCAUAGUUACUUUUUCAAGUCUUGCUUGCUAAAACAUUUUUCAUUGUUUUCUACAUAAUAGGAGUUGAAAUGAAUGGCAUUAACCAUUUAGACAUUAUGUAAUUUCUGCUAAGUGUUCCAAAUGUUGAUAUUGGUAUUCAGUUUUCAGCCUGUUCAUGUGGUUUCUAACAGCAGAUGACUUGCUUAUUAUUCCUUUGGCAGGUUCCAAAUGGCGCAGCUGGUCAUUACCUUUUAGGGCUUAUAUACAGGUUUGUCUCCUGUCUUCUGGAGCUUCUUUGUAUGCAUUACCUUUGUUACAGGGAUACUUUAUAAGUUUCUUGAAAAGGAUUUGUUUGUGAAGAUGGUUAAAAUUGAUGUAAUCAAUCUAUUUUAUCAGGCUGAACAAAAAAACAUACACUCAUUUAAGAUGUGAAUUCUAGUAGUAAUGUUGUUGUUCCUCCAAGAAAUAUCUUUUGGGGUCUUUAGGUUUGAAUCUUCUUCCUUCUAGUAGGGUUAGGUGAACUAUUGAUGGUGCUUGUGAAAUUCUUCUGAUUGGCAAAGUGUCCUCUUCUGAACUGAUCCCUUUGUCUCUCUGCUUGCAUGUUUCUUGGGAUAGAGGAUUUUGUUGUGCUAUAUUAAUUUAGGUAUGCUACCUUUUAGUUGAAUUUGUAGCGUCUUGCAACUACUUAAGUAUCUCUUUCCGUACUUUACAGUAAUUGUAUGCUGGAUUGUAUGAUUUUAUUGUACCUCUCAUGAUUUUAUUGUUUAUAAUUGGUAUUGUUCUAGGUAUACUGACAGAAGGAAAAGUGCCAUCCAUCACUUUAAGCAGGCUUUGACUAUUGAUCCUUGUAUGUGGACUGCUUACGAAGAGCUGUGCAUAUUAGGUCCGUACAGUGUUACACACAUCAAAGUAAUAGUGUAGGCAGAUUAGAGCCUUUUGUUCUAUAUGAAUGUACUUUUAGAGUGGCCCCCAUGUCCACAAUUUUACUUUUGGACGUUUUUUUAUUGAUAUGGCAUCUUGUGAAAAUAAUAUAGUUUUUUUGCAACUGGUUAAUUAAUGGUUUUACUAAAUCGAAAAUUCUGUGUUGAUUAUUUAUGGCGAUUUGGUGCCUUCAGAUGCAUAUGUUGAGGCUUUGUAUUUUCCGUUGUUUCAGGUGCUGCUGAAGAAGCAGCUGUAGUUUUUGGUGAAGCUGCCGUUCUUUCCAUACAAAAACAGUAUCUACAUCAUGGAUUAGCUUCUCAAAGUUUACUUACCCUGAAUGAGGACUGCAAUUUAGUUUCUGGCAGGAAUUUUAGCUCUGAAGAUGUUGGCCAGAGACAAUUGAAACAUGUUCAAGGAAAUAAUACAAGAGAUUUGUCUGGAAAUUCUCAUGUUAGUUUGGGCGGAGUGUCUGGUCAUCCUGUAAAUGGCACUUCUGGUUCAUCUUUCUUUAACACUCCUUCCCCAAUGCCCAUGCAGGUAUAUAUAAGUUGUCCCCUCCAAUUUUUCUCUAGCAGUCCUGCAUUUAUUGCUGUAUCUCUGUCCUUUCUACCAGUGCUUACUCUUAUCUUACUAUUGGUAUCAAAUGAUUUAAGGUCUGUUAUGGCUUUGUAACUAUUGUAACUAUGUGUCUGGACCACUUCAGGUAGGUUUUGUCUUGAAAUGAAGUAUUUGGUUUCUUUACUGAUAUGUUUGGUCUUUUUGAAAUUAGACCAAUUUAUGUAGGAUAAGUGCAAAUAUUGCCUACAAUUGGAUAUGCCAGGCUUUAGGAUUUGGAAAGUUGUGGUCGAAAGACAUAAGGCUGUAGGAGAAGAGGUUUAGGAUUUGUAAAUCAAAGUAUGGUUUGAUUAUGGGUCAAAAGGAGGGAAGGAGGGGCUGAUUUGAGGAAACCUGGUUGCUGAAAUUUCGCACAGCAGGCAGCUAAGGUUCCCAAUUAAGACACCUACCCAAUAAGCACAUUGCUAACCAAGGUUCAUAUAAAAAUCAUUUGACUCCUUAAAAAUCUCCGAAAGCCUUAAAGCAAAGAUAAUUUGAAGAAUAUAAACUUAUGGGAAUCUGGUACUGCAGGCUACUGUUAUGUAUAAACACCCACACCUCUAAAAUUAGAGUAAAUUGUACAAAUGGUCCCUCAACUUUAAUCAAAUUGGAGCAAUGGUCCCUCAACUAAAAAGCCAUUACCAUUGGUCCCUCAACUUAUCAAAAUGUGUAGUUAUAGUCAUUUUCAUCAAUUUUAUCAAAAUUUUGUCAAAAUAAGCUAUGUUGGAAUGACCAUUUAUAUAACUAGGGUCCCUUAACUCAUCAAAGUGUAUAAUUAUGGUUCUUUUCGUCAACUAUGUCAAAAAAUUUGUCAAAACGAGUUAUAUUGGAAGGACCAUUGCUACAAUUGGAUUAAAGUUAAAGGACCAUUUCUCCACUUGAAUUAAAGUUCAGGGACCAAUGGUAAUGGAUUUUUAGUUGAGGGACCAUAGCUGCACGUUUUGAUAAGUUGAGGGACCAAAGGUAAUGGAUUUUUAGUUGAGGGACCAUUGCUCCAAUUUGAUUAAAGUUGAGGGACCAUUUGUACAAUUUUCUCCUAAAAUUAAGGACCAAAUCUAAAACAAAUUCAAUGCUAGAGUCUUUAGGACAUAAUCACUCAAUAUAUACGAUUUAGUUGUCAUCUCAUGUUGCUUGUGGGUACCUGAAAUAAAACAUUGAAACUUAUAUUUGUCAAAAUAAAAAUAUGAAAUUCUUGUAUCAUCACUGAUCUGUCCCUGUUUGCAGUUGUCAGGUGUUGCUCCACCAGCUCUCUGUAGAAUUGGCCAGCCAAAUGGCCCAAACCUGAGCACAGGUACCGAUAGCUCUCUGAAGUCAAAUGUGAGCUCUACAAUUCAAGCCCCCAGAAGAAAGUUUGUUGAUGAAGGAAAACUCCGCAAGGUACAGGCUCCACUUAUUCAUAAUUCAAAUAAUUUUUUUUUUCCAUUGAUACAAUUCUUAAUGUCACUGAUUUCGUACUUUUCCUUGCUAUACCUUAACUAUUCGAGUACAUGUAAUGUUUUGGUAUUGUUUGAAUUUCAUGUGAGUCUAUGCUUUCUUGUUUUUGUGGUUUAAUGUAGGCUUACAAUGAGAUUAUUUAUUUGGUAGUGAUGUUGCCUUUAGCACCUUAUUUGAGUAAUUAGUUAUAAAUGGGUUUUCUUGUCUCUGUAUAUUUCCUGGUGACAUUUUCAUGUUGUUUAUGGAAUGUUGAGGUCAAUGACUUCUUACAAUUAUUUGUCUUCCCUUUGCAGAUUUCAAGCAGGUUGUCUUUUGAUUCUGGCAACCGGCGGAGCAAUAGACUUGCUGCUGAAGCGGGGGCCAACACUAAUGUCAGUGCCUCAGUGACAGCCGGAAAUGGAACUACCAAUUCAUCUAAAUAUCUUGGAAGUUCCAAGCUGAGCUCUGUUGCACGUUCCUUCGCAAAUCGUAAGGGGCAGCCAUGGCCCAAUGAAAAUGUUGAUGAAGGUGAUGCAUCUUCUCAUUUCUGAGUCAUUUGGUGAACUAUACUACCAUAUAUAGAGAUUAGCAGGCACAAGAAGCCAUUUUAUCACCAAUAUACUUAAUUUCUUCUAUUAAUAGAGAAACGACAAAUUGCAUUAUAGUGAUUUAAGUCUUUUCACUUCCUUUGCUCAUAUAAGUUUAAUAGCGUUUCCUGGAUAAUAUAAGUACAAACUUUCCGUUCAAGGAUACUCUUGAUUCUUCUACGCAUGUUACGUCCAAUGGAUUUUUUGCUAAUAGUUGUGAUUUCCAAACUUGGGUCCUAUUUAGGAAUGCGCAAUGAGACAUAUGAUGAUUCCCGUUCAACAACUGUGACAGUAGCUUCUGGUUUUACUCCUAGUGAUACUAGAUAUCUUGAACAAGAAGGAGCAACCUUGUCAAGUACUGGUGGUAUUAUCAAUGUUUCAAGAGUUGCCACUGGUGCUUCAGAAAUAUUGAGUCUUUUGAGAACCCUUGGGGAGGGCUAUAGACUUUCCUGCAUGUACAGAUGUCAGGUACUACUUGGUUACUGUGGAAUAAAAUGAAUUAAUAUUUUUUUCCUAGGUUGAGGUUGUAUUUUGUUAUCUAAUAUUGUCUCUGUUGUGCAGGAUGCACUCAAUGUCUAUCUCAAACUUCCAUACAAGCAUUACAAUACAGGAUGGGUGCUUUCCCAGGUAGUUUUUUUUUAUAGAAAACUUGGCUGUAUUUCUAUAUAGUCUCCUGCUGUGAUGACCUUGUACACAGCACUGGAUUCUUAAUACAGGAUUCCAUUCGCCUAUUUUCUGCUGUUGGUGGAUGUCUGUAUAAGUUAGUUAGCUAGUUUCAAAAACUAAAAGGAAAAUAAUAUCUUUCUCAUCAGAUCUGAAAAACACGGGAUUUUCUGCUAUUUGUUUGAUUUCCCACUGUCAUCAGAACUUAAUUAAUUUGUCUUGUCAUACGUUUAUCUCAUCUUUAGACUUAUUUCAUUCGCUCUUUUGUUACACUUCAUAUAGUCUACCAUGAUUUUUUGAUACCAGAUGAGUGGUACGAUUUGUCAUAGUCUUCCAUGAUUUUUCUAUACCUAAGCCUAUGUUUUUCAAUAAUUUCAUUUUCACCCACACCAACUCAAAUCCCUUGCAGCUGCUCCUUUGAAUGAUUUUUGCCCUUACAUAUUAUAAUACUUGCAUAUCAUUGACUAUUUUGGCAUUCUUCAAUUGCAGGUUGGAAAAGCUUAUUGUGAAUUGAUAGACUAUUCAGAAGCUGAUCGGGCCUUCAGUCUUGCCCGUCAGGCAUCACCUUACAGUUUAGAAGGGAUGGAUAUGUAUUCUACAGUUCUUUAUGUGAGUCCCCAAAUUGAUGUAGCUCAAAAACCUUUGAAAAAAAAAUUGUUUUGUCUUAUGACUUGGAUAAAAAAAGUGUUGUAGUUUCCAGAGGAUGCUUUCGUUAUAUGUUAGAUGGUCAGUUGGGUUGCUCUCCUGUCCAGCUAAUCCUUCUGAAAUCAAGCUAGCCACUAAUUUUUCAUUGUUGUGUGGCUUAGCUUUUCUCUUUACUUUACUGUUAAUAAUUGCUGUGCACUGAGAGUAUUCUUACUCUUUGCAGCAUUUGAAGGAAGAUAUGAAGUUAAGUUACCUGGCUCAAGAACUGAUAUCAACGGACCGCUUAGCUCCUCAGUCUUGGUAGCUAUAUCAUAAUUUUGCGAAAUAAUACAGCAUUCAAAUCUCAAUUUUCUUUUUAGUAUCUCUUGUCAGUCAUAAAGACUUAUUUCUUUCUUAUCGAAUGGUAUUGCAGGGUUGCAAUGGGAAAUUGCUAUAGCUUGCAGAAAGACCAUGAAACUGCUCUGAAAAAUUUUCAGCGAGCUGUUCAACUUAAUCCAAGAUUCACAUAUGCGCAUACCCUUUGUGGUCAUGAGUAUGGACAAGACUUUUCCUUCCCUUCAUCCUUUAAUUCAUGAAAUUGAAGUUCCUUGUAAUUUGAUGUUUAGUUCCGACCUUGUAUCAGAUAGUUAUGUUGUCAUCGAAUUAUCUAUCUGCAGAUAUGUAGCUCUAGAGGAUUUUGAGAAUGGAAUAAAGAGUUAUCAGAACGCACUUCGUAUUGAUGCAAGGCAUUAUAACGCCUGGUAUGGCCUUGGAAUGGUAUAUCAUCGCCAAGAGAAGUUUGAGUUCUCGGAGCAUCACUUCCGGACGGCUUUCCAAAUCAAUUCACGUUCUUCUGUUAUUAUGACUUAUCUUGCCUCAGCAUUGCAUGCUUUAAAGGUUACAUUCGCAUAUCCAUUCUAACUUUACGGCCUAGAAAUCUUUUUAUUUACGAAAUGGUUCUUAUUUUUUUUAUUCAAUUGUCUGAAAUGUGUUUUAGCCGACCCCACUUAGUGGGAAAAGGCUUUGUUGUUGUUGUUGUUUUUGUCUGAAAUGUGUUUGUAUCAUAUGACAGCGAAGCGAAGAAGCUCUAGUGAUGAUGGAGAAGGCUAUUAGGGCGGACAAGAAGAAUCCACUUCCAAUGUAUCAUAAGGCUAGUAUACUAAUGAGUUUAGAAAAGUUCGAUGAAGCUUUAGCGGUCUUAGAGGAGGUUAAAGAAUACUCUCCUCGCGAAAGUAGUGUCUACGCUUUGAUGGGUAAGAUCUAUAAGCGGCGUAACAUGCAUGAGAAAGCAAUGCUUCAUUUUGGUUAUGCAUUGGAUUUGAAACCAUCGGCAACUGAUGUCGCUACCAUUAAGGUGAUUUGAGCAUAUUUCUUACUCUUUAUUAACACCCCAUAUCAUAUGUGCUUUGAUCGCAACACAAGCGUAGCUUUCAUUUGCAUCUUACUCCAAGGCUCAUCUCUUGAUUUUCCAACAGGCUGACAUUGAGAAGUUACAUGUACCUGAUGAACUAGACGAUGAGUAGGUCCAUCGAGUCGGAAUUCAGUAAAAGAGAACAUCGUGCAAGUUAUCUGGCUGAAAAAGACUCUGCCCGGAGUAGCAGUCUGCUUGUGCUUUCGAAGGCGUAUGAAUGGCCUAGUUCGUGAGGCUCGCCUGCUCAUUCGGGCACCCGCAUCCAAUCUGCAUACUGUAGAACCUGACCUCAGUUUUGUAGGUGAUUCACGUACUGGUAGAGAACAAGAUGUGACGCAAGUACGGAUAGUUGUAUCAUGACGUUGAAAAACUACUUGUAUCAUCAUCUUUAACCCCUAAUGUUUAUGAUUGUAAUCUACCUUGCUCUUUCACCAAAAUUCUAAAAAUCCAUACGUGAUCUUCCCGUCAAUGAAUCUGAAUAGUCGAAUUUACCCGAAUUCAAAACUAGGGUUCUUUUGUUUAUUUUAGGGACACCUUGUGGUGUUCACUCUAUAACUUUUUUCAACGAUCAAAACCGUUUAUAUUUAGUUCAUCAUUCAUAGAUCAUCACUCCAAAAAAUUAGGUAAAUCCAAAUCCACCUUGAAACAAGGGUAACUACUUUUAACGAUUGGAGCUACAAGUCCGACAACUUAUCAACCUUACAAGAUUUUAUUGCCGGUUUUAUUGCAGGGUUAUACAAUAAACACCUUAACAGAGACUAAUAAAUCACUUUUGUGUUUCCAAUUAUUCAACUUGGAGCUGGAGAGAGGCUUCCAUUCUGCUAGCCAUGACUUGCAAGCCAGUGCCAAUAAACAGGUCCAGAUCCUCCAGCCUCCAUCCCUCCACUGGUUCAACUUCAUACUUCCACACAAUCGUACACCCGGCGUCCUUCGGCACCACUUGAACGGUCGAAAUGUACGAGUUAAACCCAACAUUCCCAUCUAUGAUAGAGUAACUAUAUGUCAUAUUUGCUGGGUCAAUAGUCAGCAGCUUCUGCUUAGUCCAGUUCACCUUCUCUUGGUCUUGGUUCUGGUCACUUUUAGGAUCAACCGGAGUCUUGAACCCAGCACAGAACCGCACGCACCCAGCUACCCCCGAUGUGCCUUCAACACCAUGGCAAGUUGUGAGAGUUGGGAACCACUCGUGCAGGCCAAAGAAGUCCUCCAAAAGAGGCCAAAUUUGCUCUGCUUUGGGGCCUUUUAGCUCUGCACUUGCCUUGCCUUCCCAUUUCAAUUGUUUCUCAAGUGCCAUUUGGUUUUCAGGACAAGAAAGCUAAUAACAAAUGGAUGCUUUGAAGAAUGUUUUUCUCAAUAGGCUUUAUAUAGAGGCUUCAUCUGUACGGGAACUGUUAUAUGCACUUCAUGUUGCACCCGUUCCUUCUAAUAAAAACACUUGGAAGAAUUACGUGUGAACAAUUGUAGAAUAACUUUCUUCAAGUGUCAACCACCGCUCUCUAUAUGCAUAUAAUUUCUAAAAUAUGAACUUAUGGUCAUGAGAUCUUGGUGAGAUAAAGCAAGUUCAAUAAGACGAGAGAUACUCUCUUGUCACCAAUUCACCACGUGACAAGCGUUUAUUGGACGGGUGAUGCCACUAGAAGAAGAAAUAUAAAAGAGAGAGAGAGAGAGAGAGAGAAAGAGAGAGAGAGAGAAUUUGUCCAAUGGACAAAGCACUCGUGUACCAUGAAUUUGGAGAAGAUAAGGACUGCUCAACGCCCAACAACUUUAAUCAGCACCACACGUCAGAGAUAUUGAGUUAGAUUUCCUCAAAUUUAUGUGGUGGAAUUUGAAGAUUCUCCCUCCUUUCCGAGGUAUACAAGAAACUAGAAAAGGAUGCAAAACAUCACUAUCAAACCAUAUUUAACAGCCCUGCAAUAAUAUUGGGAUGCAACUUCAGUUGUAUCUCAAGCCAAUCAUACAUUGUCACGUAUACGUAAAUGGCCUGGGAUGCCGCCACAAUAGCAUCUCGUUAUAGGCAAGUUUUUAUCCUCUUACUGAUCCCUAGUAAGUAGUGAUUGAUAGUAGGCUUCAUCUUGAUGAUGAGAUCACUGAAUCAGAAGAAUAGUAAUUGCAGAAGUAAAGGACCAGCUUGAAUGGUAAUAUUAACUGAAACCGAAACUUUAUUUCUGAAAUAGCACCGAGAAAGUAAACAUUUUAGUACGUAUGUAUGACUAUUCGACAUCAAACUAUCACCUUUCUCGGACCUAAGGCCCAGAAAAUGUCCAACGACUUGUUAGAAAACUCGAAAUUAGACUGUACAAAGUCACUCAAGAAGAAAUGUUACUAAUUCAACUCACUUUCUACCUCUAGUUUCUUCUGCUUGUGCAGAUACUUGUAAUGUUAAUGACAUAUUGUUUCGGCUAUGAAUCUGAAACGGAACUGCCUCCCUGUGUAGCCUCUUCAACGGUAUCAAUCCUUGAGGUGUCUGAACUUGUUUCCACCUUCGCUUUAAUGUCAAUGUUCGAGUCUUGUACUGAAAUUUUGCUUUUGGCUUCCAAAUCAGCACCAGUUGUUCCUUCUUUAGAUCCAACUUCUUCAUUUACCUUGUUUUCUCUGAUGUCACUUUGAUUGUUAGAACUCGAAUUCAUUUCCUGAUGUCCGGUAAUUGCGUGAUCACCGCCUGUUCCAGUCACUAUGUAUUCUAUGAGAUCAUGGCCAUCUACUGGCACGCCAUUCACAUCAUCAAAGCCAUGGACCUCUCUGUCUGCCACUCAAUUUUGGCCCUCAAGAGAGUCAUUCUUACUUUCACCACGUGUAAUGUCCUUGUAUGUAGUACUCAAUUCCAUCAAUCACUUUGGCUCCUUGUCAGUGGUACGAGAUUCCUCCAAAUCUCUUUGUCUCCUUAGCUUAGCCCCUUUCAUUUUCUUUCUCGUCGUGCUUAUCUUGUGGUAUUUGCUCCUUGUCCUCUCCUACUUCAUCAUGAUUCCCAUGUUUCGCACCAUCUUGAUCAGCGAAAAUUGCCUGCGUACCUUCGUGUCCCUCUUGGUAAUUUUCUUCAUGCGAAGAACACUUGUCGAGCCCCACCGAUUCAUCAUUUCCUUUAACUUCACCACCAGAAUUAUCAUCUUUAUUGUUCAAUUCUUUUUUCUGAAUUUCUGUUUCCUUUUCAACUUAAUUCACUUCGUUUACGUUCUGCAAAGAUUCUUCCUCAUUUUUCUCUUCAACAUUUCCAUCUUCUUUCUUUACACUUUCUUCUCCUACAUGUUUUGGAUCUUCUGGUGCAGACACACCUCCACCUUUUGACCACCCUGCACUCCCCUUACGUCCGAAAAUAUCAGAACCGCUUCGCUGGCCUUGUCCUUUGAACUUUCACUAUAGUCCUUGCCAUGUGACUGCUUCAUCUGGUAUAGCAACCAGAAGCAAACAGCCAAAAUCAAUGCAAUCUGAAUUGCAUGUUUCACCUUCAACCCUUUGGCGGGUCUCUGGUUGCGCCCGGCAAUCAUCACAACGAUAAGCAAGUCAAGGUUGCAUUUAUAAAAUAUAAAAGACCACCACCCCCCCCCCCUCCCCCCAAAAAAAGAAGAGAAAAAAAAAAAACCACCAAAAACCAGCAAUUAGGGUUUUGUUGUCAACAUCAAAAAAAGGAAAAAUCGCAUAUUAUUAUCACCAAUUAGGGUUUUGCAAAUUUCCAAUCAGAGAACUCCCCUCCCCAUCAAAUUCAGACCUUAAUAUCUUUCUUAAUUAAAUUUCCUCCUGACAAUAUACAACGAUCUACUAACUAAACCAAAAUUUAUGAACAGAAAACAGAAAAACCAGAUAACCCUCAGUUUGGUUUCCGAGAAAAUGCAGGAAAAUGAACUAAAGUUUGAAUCUAUGAGUCAACUAAGUCCAAAUCCAAGUCAAGUCCAUAAUUUUCAGGAAGCUUCCAAUAUUUCCAAAUCAAUUCACGUUCUUCUGCUAUAAUGACUUAUCUUCCCCCAGCACUGCACGCUUUAAAGGUUAUAUUCGCAUAUCCAUUCUAACUUUAUGGCCUAGAAAUCUUUUGAUUUAUGAAAUGAUUCUUAUUUUAUUAUUCAAUCGUCUGAAAUGUGUUUGUAUCAUAUGACAGAGAAGCGAAGAAGCUCUAGUGAUGAUGGAGAAGGCUAUCACGUGACAAGCGUUUAUUGGAGGGAUGAUGCCACUAGAAAAAAAAAAAGAAAAAAAAAGAGACAUUGAGUGAGAAUUGUCCAAUGAGGCAAAGCACUCGUGUAAUAUGAAUUUGGAGAAGAUAAGGACUGCUCAACGCCUAACAACUUUUAUCAGCACCACAUGUCAGAGAUAUUAAGUUAGAUUUCCUCAAAUUGAUGUGAUAGAAUUUGACGAUUCUCCCUCCUUUUCGAGGUAUAGAAGAAACUAGGAAAGGAUACAAAACAUCACUAUCAAUCCAUUUAACAGCCUUGCAAUAAUAUUGGAAUGCAACUGCAGUAGUAUCUCAGGCCAAUCAUAUAUAUUGUCACGUAUAUGUAAAUGGCCUGGGAUGCUGCCACAAUAGCAUCUCAUUAUAGGCAAGUUUUUAUCCUCUUACUGAUCCCUAGAAAGUAGUGAUUGAUGUUGGAAUUAAAUAGAAUUCAGUUUUGUUCAAGUGUUUAAGAAGGAAGAAAUCAAUAGAAAAGUGUAUGUCUAGUCUCAUAAGACAAGUGUAUGCUUUAGAUCUUUGUUUUGAAUCAAGGGCUGAGAUUGCUCUAGAUUAGCUUGUAAGGAAAUAUCCUAAGUUGAUAUUUAUUGAAAUAUCUGUGAUUACUUCACAGAUAAGAAACCUUUCACAUUUUUUCCCCGAUUCUGUUUUUCUCUGGUUCAUCUUCUUGUCUGCCUCCAGGAACCAAAACUAACUCACCAGAAUUUAUCAUGGCCUCAGAGCUUAGGUUCUGAUCAAAUUCAGGACUGGGCGUUUUGUGUGUGUGCUUCGUAUCUCUGAAAAGGAAAGGAGGAAAAACAUACCCAGAUCGUGAAAAUCUCAUAUGUUCUUACAAAGCCUCACAUGGUUACUUCGAGCAGUGGAGGAGAUCUGAGGGCUCCUAUUUUCAAUGGGAUCAACUACGAUUUUUGGUCCAUCAAGAUGAAGACCAUAUUCAAAUCACAUGAUCUCUGGAAUUUGGUGGACAAGGGUUAUGAAGCUGUAGAAACUGAAAAUGAUUCUAGCGAUGAAGAUCAACAGUCUGUGAGGAAGAUAGCAAUGAAAGUUAAUGAAACAAGAGAUGCAAAAGCUCUUGGUAUCAUUCAAGGGGCAGUGUCUGAUGAGAUCUUUCCUCGAAUCUCAAACUUUGAAACCUCCAAGACUGCAUGGGAUGUUCUUCAACAAGAAUUUCGUGGUGAUAAAAAGGUUAGGUCUGUCAAACUACAAUGUUUAAGAAGAGAUUUUGAGUACACUAGGAUGAAUGAUGGUGAAGCUCUAUCUGUUUAUUUAACAAGAUUGACUGAUAUUGUGAAUCAAAUGAAAACUCUUGGUGAAGAACUGACAAAUCAAAGAUUAGUGCAAAAGAUACUUAUUAGCUUGCCUAAAUCUUAUGAUUCCAUCGCAUCUAUUAUAGAAGAAACUAAAGACCUUGACUCCAUUGAGGUUCAAGAAGUGAUUGGUACAUUGAAAGGCUAUGAGCAGAGGUUAAAUAUGCAUUCUGAAAACUUAGCUGAAAAGGCUUUUACUAGCCUAAGUGUGACUGAGAGAGAUAGUAGUUACAGGGGUCAGGGGAGCAACUCAAAUCAAAAGAAAUUAUGGAAAGGAAAAGGGAAGAAAUGGGACAACAACCAUACUUCACAAUCAAAAUCAGAAUCUAGCAGUGAGUCUACCAAAACCAAGUGUAAAAUCUGUGACAAAUUACACUAUGGUGUUUGCUGGUUCAAGGGAAAACCCAAAUGCACCAAGUGUGACAGAUUUGGUCAUCUAGCAAAAGAUUGUAAUCCAAGAAGGAACCAAGUUGUCAACUAUGCACAUAGAGCAGAAGAAGAGGAAGUAAAUGUCUUUUAUGCUUGUAGUGUUGCAAAAACUGAAAACAAGAAAGGAAUCUGGUAUAUUGACAGUGGAUGCAGUAAUCACAUGACUGCAUAUGAAUCCUUACUGAUCAACAUUGACAGAAGCUUCAAUUGCAGAGUUAAAAUGGGGAAUGGACAACUAGUGGAAGCUACUGGAAAAGGAACUCUUGUUCUAGAGACAAAGGGUGGAAGAAGAUUCAUCAAGGAUGUAAUACUUGUACCAGGUCUUGAUGAGAAUCUCCUUAGUGUGGGACAGAUGAUUGCUCAUGGUUACUUCUUACUUUUUGGAGACAAUAUGGUGGAGAUCUUUGAUGACAGAAGCCUCCAAAACUUGGUAACACAAGUUGGCAUGACAGAAAACAAAAGCUUUCCACUUAUGCUAGAUUACAAUGAUUCAAUUGCUCUAAAAGCAAGUGUUGCAGAAAAACUCUUGGUUAUGGCAUAAGAGGUUCGGACAUCUCAACUUUCACAGUUUAAAGAGAUUGGAGAAACUACAAAUGGUGACUGGUCUUCCUGAGUUACAAGAGACUAAAGAACCGUGUGAAGGUUGCAUACUGGGGAAGCAUCACAGGGACUCUUUUGAAACUGGAAGUGCAUGGAGAGCAAGUCAACCUCUAGAACUCAUACACACAGAUGUGUGUGGUCCAAUGAAGACACCUACACUCAGUGGGAACAGAUAUUUUUCUGCUAUUCAUUGAUGACUGCACUAGGAUGGUUUGGGUAUAUCUUAUGAGAAACAAGAGUGAAGUCUUUUCAAUCUUCAAGAAAUUCAAAAUGAUGGUUGAACUUCAGAGUGGUCUCAAGAUCAAAAGACUAAGAAGCGACAGAGGUGGUGAAUUCACUUCACUUGAGUUCCAAGAAUUCUGUGAAGGAGCAGGAUUACAGAAGCAAUUGACAGUGGCCUACACACCACAACAGAAUGGUGUGGCUGAGAGGAAGAACAGGACCGUGGUUGAAAUGACCAAGUCAAUGCUCCAUGAUAAGAAAAUGCCACUUUCUUUUUGGGGUGAAGCUGUCAAUACAUCUGUGUAUCUCCUAAACAGGUGUCCAACUAAAGCACUUGAGAAGAAAACACCGUUUGAGGCAUUUAGUGGCAGAAAACCAAGUGUGAAGCACUUGAAAGUGUUCGGAUCAAUUUGCUAUGCACAGAUACCAUCUCAACUACGACACAAGCUUGAGAUCAAUAGUGUCAAGUGUGUCCUUGUAGGUUAUGGAAGCUGUGAAAAGGGCUAUAGGCUCUACAAUAUUGAGUCACGUAAAGUGAUCCUCUCAAGGGAUGUGGUGUUCAAGGAGAAUGAAGCAUGGAAUUGGGAAACCAAUAACAUAUACACUAUCUCAUUUCCACUAGCAAUGGAAGAAGCACAAGCUGAAGUGCAAAAUGUGAAUGAACCUGUUAUACAAGAUGAGAGUCAAACUGAUUUUUCAACUCCAACACAAGGAUCUCAGUCCUCUACUUCAAAUGCAGAAGGACAAGAAUUACAGGAUUCCUCCCCGGAAACAACUCCAUCGAGAAUGAAGAGUUUAAAUGAGAUAUAUGCAGUGUGUAACUAUUGUGUUGUUGAACCUGAGAGUUUUGAAGAAGCUGAGAAGGAUCAAUCCUGGCAGAAAGCAAUGAAUGAAGAAAUUGCCAUGAUUGAGAAAAACUCUACUUGGAAAUUGGUAAAUAGACCGAGAGAUAAACCUGUGAUAGGUGUGAAAUGGAUUUACAAGAUCAAACUGAAUUUGGAUGGAUCAAUACAGAAGAACAAAGCAAGAUUAGUUGCCAAGGGCUACUCACAACAACCUGGGGUAGAUUUCAAUGAAACUUUUGCCCCAGUGGCAAGGUUAGACACCAUUAGAACCUUGAUUGCUCUUGCUGCCCAAAAGGGAUGGAAACUUCACCAGUUAGAUGUCAAAUCAGCUUUUCUAAAUGGCAUUUUGGAGGAAGAAGUGUAUGUGGAUCAACCACAAGGAUUUGAAGUGCCAAAUAAAGAGGAGAAGGUCUACAAGUUAAACAAAGCACUGUAUGGACUCAAACAAGCCCCCAGGGCUUGGUACAGUGAGAUAGACUCCUAUUUCAGCAAGAGUGGAUUUAACAAAAGUCCUAGUGAAGCAACAUUAUAUACAAAAACUGGUGAGAACUCUGAGAUGCUUAUUGUGUCUAUAUAUGUUGAUGAUGUGGUCUUUACUGGUAAUUGUGAAGAAAUGAUUGAAGAAUUCAGAAGGGAAAUGAUGAGACAAUAUGAGAUGUCGGAUCUUGGCUUGUUGCAUCACUUCUUGGGAAUUGGAGUAAUACAAGAAACUACUGGGAUUUUCAUACAUCAACAGAAGUAUGCACAAUCACUGCUUGAAAGAUUCAAUCUGAAAGGAUGCAAAUCUGUGGCAACACCAUUGAUCACGAAUGAGAAACUUUGUAAAGUGGAUGGUUCUGAAUCUGCUGAUGAAUGCUUAUACCGAAGAAUGGUUGAAAGUCUGCUUUAUUUGACUGCUACAAGACCUGACAUUAUGUAUGCAGCCAGUCUCUUAUCAAGGUUUAUGCAUAAUCCCACGAGAAUUCACAUGGGAACUGCUAAGAGAGUACUAAGGUAUAUCUCAGGGACCUUGGAUUAUGGAAUCAAAUAUGAAAAGGGAAAAAAAGCAAUUAUGGUAGGCUUCUGUGACAGUGAUUGGGGUGGCAGUGAAGAUGACAUGAGAAGUACCACAGGAUAUGCAUUUACAUUCGGUUCUGGGAUAUUUUCUUGGGCUUCUGUCAAGCAACAAAGUGUUGCAUUGUCUACGGCUGAAGCAGAGUAUGUGAGUGCUGCAAUGGCUACCUCCCAAGCUAUAUGGUUGAGGUUUGUGUUAAAGGAUUUUGGUGAAAUGCAAGUGGAUGCUUCACCACUUAUGUGUGACAACACAUCAGCAAUAGCUAUGACCAAGAAUCCUAUUUUUCAUCAGAAAACCAAGCAUAUCAAAAGGAAGUUUCACUUCAUAAGGGAAGCCUUGCAAGAGAAUACCAUUGAACUGAUCUACUGCAAAUCACAGGAUCAAAUGGCCGACAUCUUCACCAAAGCUCUACCGAGGGAAAGGUUUGUCUAUCUCAGAGGAAUGCUUGGGAUCAAAACCAGAAUUCAUUUAAAGGGGAGUGUUGGAAUUAAAUAGAAUUCAGUUUUGUUCAAGUGUUUAAGAAGGAAGAAAUCAAUAGAAAAGUGUAUGUCUAGUCUCAUAAGACAAGUGUAUGCUUUAGAUCUUUGUUUUGAAUCAAGGGCUGAGAUUGCUCUAGAUUAGCUUGUAAGGAAAUAUCCUAAGUUGAUAUUUAUUGAAAUAUCUGUGAUUACUUCACAGAUAAGAAACCUUUCACAUUUUUUCCCCGAUUCUGUUUUUCUCUGGUUCAUCUUCUUGUCUGCCUCCAGGAACCAAAACUAACUCACCAGAAUUUAUCAAUUGAUAGUAGGCUUCAUCUUGAUGAUGAGAUCACUGAAUCAGAAGAAUAGUAAUUGCAGAAGUAAAGGACCAGCUUGAAUGGUAAUAUUAACUGAAACCGAAACUUUAUUUCUGUAAUAUCACCGAGAAAGUAAACAUUUUAGUACGUAUGUAUGACUAUUCGACAUAAAACUAUCACCUGUUCUCGGAUCUAAGGCCAAGAAAAUGUCCAACGACUUGUAAGAAAACUCGAAAUUAGACUGUACAAUGUCACUCAAGAAGAAAUGUUACUAAUUCAACUCACUUUCUACCUCUAGUUUCUUCUGCUUGUGCAGAUACUUGUAAUGUUAAUGACAUAUUGUUUCGGCUAUGAAUCUGAAACGGAACUGCCUCCCUGUGUAGCCUCUUCAACGGUAUCAAUCCUUGAGGUGUCUGAACUUGUUUCCACCUUCGCUUUAAUGUCAAUGUUCGAGUCUUGUACUGAAAUUUUGUUUUUGGCUUCCAAAUCAGCACCAGUUGUUCCUUCUUUAGACCCAACUUCUUCAUUUACCUUGUUUUCUCUGAUUUCACUUUGAUUGUUAGAACUCGAAUUCAUUUCCUGAUGUCCGGUAAUUGCGUGAUCACCGCCUGUUCCAGUCACUAUGUAUUCUAUGAGAUCAUGGCCAUCUACUGGCACGCCAUUCACAUCAUCAAAGCCAUGGACCUCUCUGUCUACCACUCAAUUUUGGCCCUCAAGAGAGUCAUUCUUACUUUCACCACGUGUAAUGUCCUUGUAUGUAGUACUCAAUUCCAUCAAUCACUUUGGCUCCUUGUCAGUGGUACGAGAUUCCUCCAAAUCUCUUUGUCUCCUUAGCUUAGCCCCUUUCAUUUUCUUUCUCGUCGUGCUUCUCUUGUGGUAUUUGCUCCUUGUCCUCUCCUACUUCAUCAUGAUUCCCAUGUUUCGCACCAUCUUGAUUAGCGAAAAUUGCCUGCGUACCUUCGUGCCCCUCUUGGUAAUUUUCUUCAUGCGAAGAACACUUGUCGAGCCCCACCGAUUCAUCAUUUCCUUUAACUUCACCACCAGAAUUAUCAUCUUUAUUGUUCAAUUCCUUUUUCUUUUUUCUGUUUCGUUUUCAACUGUUGGAAAAUAAUAGUAUUUUGGUUUAUUUGAAUGUUUGGUUUUCUUGGCUUAGCUCGUUAGAAUUAGGUUUUGUUAGUUUAUUAUAAAUAUGGUGCUUUGUUAUUCAUUAGAGAACAAGCUAGUCACAAUGUAGCCUAUUAGGGUUUUGUAGUCGUUCUGACAUUCUCGUUUGUUUAAUAAUAUUCUUAUUAUUUUGUAGUAUUGUUCGUUGCGCACUCUGAUUUUCAACUUGGUAUCAAAGCAGGUUUGAUUUUUUGGGUUGAAUCUGUUACAAAGCCGUGAAACCCAUAAAUCAUUUCUGUUUCCAUUGUCUGAUCAGAACCCUCUUGCACCCACACCCUGAUCCGUAGCUGUCGUUGCCCCGUGUUGCUGCAAUCUGAUCCGUUUGCAUCGACACCUUGUUCUUGCACUCGCACCGUUUUCUCACUUAUUACAUAUUUGCCUAUUCAUUUAUUACAUAAUUACCUUUGAAUCCUCCGAGUAUUUAUACGAGAUCUAAAUACGGAGGCCCUAAGUAUGGUAUAAACAGUAGUCCCCCAAGUCUUCAGUCAAGAGAGUCUUUUGGCUGGAAACUUGAAAUUCAGUCCAUGUGUGGGCUGAAGUAACUAGAUGUCGUCUAGAACUGAUACUCGAUAUGAGGCGGUACUCAAUCUGAAAUGAUGCUCAACUAGAAGUAGCACAUGUUGCGAGGCUGCUCUGCUUGUGGCUUAUGUUGCCUUGGUUGGCUCGGCUUGUGGCGUUGAAGGUGAGGGAGUCCCUUUUAUAGAAUAAGGGCUCACUCCUCAAUACAUAAAUGAUGGGCUAGAAUCGAUACGCGCGGCGAGGCGGUUGCUCAGCAGGCGGCGAUGUUCUCUAAUAAUGGUGAGGGAGUCCCUUUUAUAGAAUAAGGGCUCGCUCCUCAAUACAUAAGUGAUGGGUUAGGAGUGAUGCUCGCCGCGAGGCGGUUGCUCAGCAGGCGGCGAUGCUCUCUAAUGAUGGUGAGGGAGUCCCUUUUAUAAAAUAAGGGAUCGCUCUUCAAUACAUAAAUAAUGGGUGCUCUCUAAUGAAAGUGGGGGAGUCCCUUUUAUAGAAUAAGGGCUCGCUCCUCAAUACAUAAGUGAUGGGCUAAGUCCCCCAAGUAUUUUUCAUGAAGCCCAGUUGAGGCCCAAUAUAUGGUAUAUAAUGUAGUCCCCCAAGUCUUCAGUCAAUAGAGGUUGUUGGCUGGAGACUUUCAAAUUCAAGCCAUGUAUGGGCCGAAGUGGUGGUUGUUCGGAGGCGGUCUUUGUAAACCAUGCACUGAAGCUUUGUAGGUGAAGCUUUGAAGCUAAAGCUUUUGUAAAUGAAGCUUUUGAAGCUGGAGCUCUCGAAGCUGGAGCUCUGUAAAUGAAGUUUUCGAAGCUGAUUGACAUGAGUGAUGCUCAUGAAUAUUUAUGUUGAUUGACAUGAGUGAUGCUCAUGGAUGUUGACAUGAGUGAUGCUCAUGAAUGUUGACAUGAAUGAUGGUCAUGAAUGUUUAUGUAUGAUUGACAUAAGUGAUGCUCAUGAAUGUUUAUGUAUGAUUGACAUGAGUGAUGUUUAGGGAAGGCCAAUUCUUAGGCCAUGGAAGGGCUUUCUCACCCUCAGAAGCUCUCUCCAUCUCUCUCCCUCACAAAUAGAGAAAUACAAAUAUCAGUGUGGACGUAGCCCAAACAUUGGGGUGAACCACGAUACAUCUUGUGUUAUUUACAUUUCUUGCAGAUUCACGGUCGGAUUUACGUUGCUCCAAGAUCUCCGAUUUUGUGCAUCAACAGAGGCUAGAGAAAUCGCAGAGACAUUGUCACACCAAAGAGUGGGAAUGACAGUGAGUUGAAGAGCAACAUCUCUGAAAAUUUUACACACCCAUAUGAGUUCAGCUGCAGUGUGCGCAAGAGAUCUAUAUUCGGCCUCUGUAGAAGAUCGAGCAACAAUAUGUUGCUUUUUGGCACUCCAACUAAUCAAGUUUCUGCCCAAAUAUAUAUAGUAGCUACUUGUAGACAUUUGAUCAAACACACAACCGGCCCAAUCUGCAUCAGAAUAGGCUGUAAGGUGCAAGGAACUCUUCGUAAACCACAUUCCUUGAUCAAAUGUACCUUUUAAGAACCGUAAGAUUCUCUUGACAUCCUGAAAGUGUGAAUCACGAGGACAAUGAAGAAAUUGGCAGACUUGAUUCACUGCAAAGGAAAUGUCAGGUCUGGUCCAAGUGAGAUACUGUAGAGCCCCGACGAUAGACUUGUAUUCUUUAGGAUCAGCUAAUGGAACGCCAACAUGAUCAAGCUUUUGAGUUCCCAAAGGGGUAACACAAGGUUUACAACCUUCCAUGUUUGUCUUGAUUAAGAGAUCUAAAGCAUAUUUGCUUUGAGACAGAAAGAUGUCGUCAUUGGAUCUAUGAACUUCUAGUCCAAGGAAAUAGUGCAAUGAGCCUAAAUCCUUAACUAGAAAUAAGGAACCAAGAUGCUGAAUAAAGUGUUGACAUAGAGAGGUAUUGGGACCAGUUACCAGUAUAUCAUCCACAUAUAUAAGGAUUAGGACAAGGAAUGGUUUAAGUUUCACAAACAGAGAGCAAUCAGAUUGAGAGUUUGUAAAACCAAGAGAUACCAGAGUGUGAAAGAGCUUGUCAUACCAUGCCCUAGGGGCUUGCUUUAAGCCGUAGAGAGAGCGUUUGAGUUUGAAAACAUGUGAAGGUUUGGAUGGAUCAAUAAAACCGGGUGGUUGUUGCAUAAAAACCUUUUCUUGGAGAUUUCCAUGGAGGAAGGCAUUGUUGCUGUCAAGUUGGUUUAAAAACCAAUCAUAUUGGACUACAAGUGUAAGGAGAAUGCGAAUGGUAAUAGGUUUGGCAACCGGGCUGAAAGUCUCUUUGAAAUCAACACCUUCUUAUUGAUGGAAGCCCUUAGCAAUAAGACGGGCUUUGUAUCGAUCAAUAGAACCAUCAGGUUUCCUUUUGAUUCGGAAAACCCAUUUGCAUCCGACUAGAUUUUGAUGAGGAGAUGAGGGUACAAUAUUCCAAGUGCCGGUGGACUGGAGAGCUUGAAAUUCUUCCAUCAUGGCUUUAUUCCAGUGAUCAUAUUUGGAGGCUUGCAAAUAAGUAGUAGGCACAAAAGAAGUAGAAUCAAUAGGAUGUUUUAUAGCUGUUAAUACUUUUGGCUUGAAAAUUCCAGCUUUAGACCGAGUGAUCAUGGGAUGAGUGUUUGUGGGAACUGAAAUUAAAGAAGAAUGAUGCUCUUGAGAUGAGGCAAAAGCUUGAGUGUGUUGGGAAUGUUGAGGUGGAGAGACUAAUGGUGUUGAGGAAGAACCUUGAGAUAUAUAUGGACCCGGAGAUGAAUGAGACACAGAAGACGGUUGGGUGGUAGAGAUGUUUGAUUGAGGAAAUGGCAAUGAGAACUCAGUUGAUGUAGAUGAGGAAGUACAAUGUGUGUGAAGAAGUUUGGUGAGGAUAAGAAAAUCAUGAAAUGGAAAAUGGUCUUCAUUGAAAAGGACAUGCCGUGAGAUAUAAACCCUGUUGGACAGUGUAUCUAAACACCUAUAGCCUUUGUGUUGAAGACUAUAGCCCAGAAAAACACAUGGUGUGCUUUUACCAUCCAACUUUGAUUGCAUAUAUGGCUUAAGCCAAGGGUAGCAGCAUCAACCAAAUAUCUUCAACUUUGAAUAAUCAUGAGGCAUGUUAAAAAGAAUUUCCCAUGGAGACUGAGAGGAUCCAGAGAUAGGUAGUCAAUUGAUAAGAUACAGUGCAGUAGAAAAAGCAUCUACCCAAAAUCUGUGUGGAACUUUAGAAGCAACAAGAAGUGUCCUUGCAGUCUCAAUAAGAUGUCAAUGCUUGCGUUCCACACAACCAUUUUGUUCAGGUGUGUGUGGGCAGCUAAAUUGAUGAGAAAUACCAUGCUGAAGCAAGAAAGAAAUAAAUGCAGAACUUGUGAACUCACCCCCUGAAUCUGUUCGAAAAAUCUUGAUUUUAUUUCCAAGUAAAUUUUCAACAUAUGUUUUGAAAUUUACAAAGAUAGAAAAGACUUCAGACUUUGCCUUUAAAGGAAACAUCCAACUGUAUUUGUUAUACUCAUCUACAAAGAGUACAUAGUACUUAUAGCCACUAACAGAUGAAACUGGACAGGGACCCCAGACAUCACAAUGAAUCAAGUCCAAGUUAUUUAAGACAGUGGUGGUACUAGAAGAAAAUGGCAGCUUGUGAUGUUUACCAAUUGCACAGUUUGCACAAAAAAACUUAACAGAAGCUGAAUUAUUAGUAACAAGCUUAUUUGGAUGCAAUAUCCUUCUGAGAAUGGUUGUUGAAGGGUGGCCAAGGCGUUUGUGCCAUUGUUGUAAUGAAACCUGAGUGCUAACAAGUGCAGAGAAUGAAGCUUGGAAUGGUUGUCCUUUCAGAUGAUAGAAACCAUCCCUAACUGGGCCCCGAAAAAACGUCUUCCCAGUGGAACGGUCAUUGAUGACAAAACCAUCAUAAUCAAGAGUUAAAGAGCAAUAAUUGUCUCUUAGAAAUUGAUACGCAGAGAGCAAAUUGAAUUGCAUCAUUGGCACAUGGAGAACAUUAUUUAAGUGUUUUAAGUACAGAAGAACCGGUGUGGUGAAUUGGCAUACCUUGACCAUCACCAGCAUAAACCUUGUUUUCACCAGAGUAAGGGAUGGGAGAAGAUAUUGCUGAGAUAUCAUUGGUGACAUGAGCAGUGGAGCCAGAGUCCAGAAGCCAUGUAGGCUGAGAGGAAGAAGAAGUAUUGGCACACAUAGCAACAAGCUUGGCAGGUGGAAUCUUUCCAGCAAAAGCAUGGUUCAUUCGAGCAUAGCAAUCAAGGGCCUCAUGAUCAAAAGAAUUGCAUAUUUGACAGGGAGACCGAUUUCCAGAAUUAUGAGUAUAGCCACCAGAAUUACGAUUGUAGUUACCAGAGUUGUGACGGAAAUUAUCAUUACCAGUGCCAAAAUUGUUGUAAUUGCCACGAUAGUUACCACGACCUUUAUUGUUCUUCUGAAAAUUGCCUCGGCCACGGUUAUUGCGCUGGAAAUUGGAGCGAUUGAUGUAGUUAGAUUGGUGGACAUCAUUAGCCUGUUAGGAAUGAGGCGUAGGUAAAAGACCUUGCUGGAGAGAUGGACCUUAAGCAGCAAAUGCAUGAAAUGGUUAUGUAAGGGAAGAUGCAGAAGCUUUCUUCUUUCUAUGCAUGAAAAGUUCUUUGUUCAGAAAGAGGCCAUGAAGUUCAUCUAAGGAAGUAGAUGAAAUUCGAAGCAUGAUAGAAUCUACGAAGGAUUCAUAAUCAUCAGAGAGGCCAUUUAAGAUAACAUCAAUAAGAUCUUGAUCUAACACCGGAGCUCCGGCAGCCGUAAGAGCGUCAAAUAUGCCUUUGAUACGCUAUAGAUAAUCAGAGAUUGACAUAUCGCCUUUCUGAAUGGCAUGAAGACGUGAUCAGAGUUGAUGAAUGUGCGCCACUGAGACACCGUCAAAUCGUUGUUCAAGAAUCUGCCAUAAUUCUCGAGACGAAGUAACCCUGACGGUGAAUGGAAUGAGAUAUUCAGAGAAGGUUGAAUUCAGCCAGAUAAGGAUAUUUUGAUCCUUUUCAAACCAGAUCUCGAAAGUAGGAUUAGGAACUGCAGUAGUUGCACCAUAUUGAUCAAGAAUAAAAGGCGGUGGACACACCUCCGAUCCAUCGAUAAUGCAUGUAAGUUUGUAUCGUCGAAAAAUUGGAGCGAAAAGAGCUUUUCAGACCAGAUAAUUAUCCCACUUAAGCUUUGUAGGAACCAUACAACUGAUGUUUUGAAUUGAAAUUGAAGAAAUUGAACAGAGAUUCGAAGAGUUAGGGUUUAUCGGAACAAAAUUUGAUGAAAGAUGGGUGGGAUUCUGAGUGAAAACUUCCGGAUUUGCAAGUGAAGAAGUAGAAGACACCAUUGGGGAUCAAGAUUUGCAGGGAGAAAAUCAAAGAGGAUCAGAGAAAUCGAAGAUUGCAGAAGAAGCUAGGAUUGGUGAUUGAGCAGAGAGGCAAUUGAUACCAUAUAAGAAAUAACUCUGAUAUUUCAUUUCUUAAUGAAUAAGAAAUUACAAUGGGUUUAUAUACAGCAGAGAAAAAUAGCUUAGUAACUAAUUACAUCUAGUUAACUCACUAAUCUAGUAAUUAGUUACAAGGACAGUUGUAACACACUUGUAACAAAAAUACAACUAACUAUUUAUAUGCCUUUUUACUAGCUCUGUGUUAUUUGACGAAACCUCACAUCUCCAUUUUUUCCGACGAGUUGCAGGUUUCCCAUCGUGUUUUCCGGCCAAACCUCGUCAAAUUGGAUGAGGUUAGCACCACCAACAAACUGUUCUCCAUCCCUGGACACAGAUCGAAGCUUUGCAUGCUCGAAUCUGUCAUGGAUUCGAAGAAACCCAAACAUGCCAAGACUUCCGGGCCAAUUUACGGCCACCUCCGAUCAUCUUUUGGCCUCGAUUCCGGUAGAAACUGAAUCCCCUCACUCCCAACUUCAGUUUGGUAUAUUUUUAUGUGAAAAUUGGUUGUGAAACGUAUUUGAAAGAGAUGGUCGAAUCGAAAAGUUAACGGCAAUGUGUGGUCGGAGGUCACAAGGAGUGGCCGUAAGUAGUCGUCGAGCAAGACAAGGAUGAGAGAAAUGAUGGUCUUAGCUAGUUCCAUGGUUCUCGGCGGUACUCGCUAAGACCAGAUAGUCCUGCCCUUAGUCGAGGCGAGUGAGAGCUAGUCUCACUAAAGCUAAUCCUUGCUGGGAACAAACAUGGGACUUGACUAACCCUUAAUUUUGUCUAGUCCAGUGAAUUUUAACGAGGACAAACAAAUGCCCCCUUCUAAUUUCUUCUAUACCUCGGAAAGGAGGGAGAAUCUUCAAAUUCUAUCACAUAAAUUUGAGGAAAUCUAACUGAUCAAUAUCUCUGACGUGUGGUGCUGAUCAAAGUUGUUAGGCAUUGAGCAGUCCUUAUCUUUCUCCAAAUUUCUGGUACAUGAGUGCUUUGUCUAAUUCUCCCUUUUUUUUGUUGUUUUUUUUUCUUUUCCUAAUGGCAUCACCCAUCCAAUAAACGCUUAUCAAGCGGUGAAUUGGGAGAGAUUUUUUAGUGUGACUGGUACACGGGUGAUACACCACGUGUCACUAUAUAAAUGAUAAGAUAUGUGUGUUAAAAAGUUCAUAACUUAGAACAUAAAAUUGUUCACCACUUAUAUAAAAACAAGUGAUGUACCCUCCGUAUUCCGGUCACAAUCAAAUUUUUUUCGUGAAUUGGUGAUAAGAGAGUAUCUCUCGUCUGAUUGAACUCUGCUUUAUCUUACCAAGAUCUCAUGACCGUAUGUUCAUAUUUUAGAAAUUAUAUGCACAUAGAGAACGGUGUUUCGCACUUCAAGAAAGUUAUUCUACAAUUGUUCACACGUAAUUCUUCUAAGUGUUUUUAUUAGAAGGAACGGGUGCAUCGUGAAGUGCAGAUAACAGCUCCCAUACAGAUGAAGCCUUUAUAUAAAGCGUAUUGAAAGAAACAUUCUACAAAGCAUCCAUUUGUUAUUAGCUUUCUUGUCCUGCAACCCAAAUGGCACUUGAGAAACAAUUGAAAUGGGAAGGCAAGGCAAGUGCAGAGCUAAAAGUGACCAGAACUUGCCAUGGUGUUGAAGGCACACCGGGGGUAGCCGGGUGCGUGUGGUUCUAUGCUGGGUUCAAGACUCCGGUUGAUCCUAAAAGUGACCAGAACCAAGACCAAGAGAAGGCGAACCGGACUAAGCAGAAGCUGCUGAGUAUAGACCCAGCAGAAAUGACAUAUAGUUACUCUAUCAUAGAUGGGAAUGUUGGGUUUAACUCGUACCUUUCGACCGUUCAAAUGGUGCCGAAGGACGCCGAGUGUACGAUUGUGUGGAAGUAUGAAGUUGAACCAGUGGAGGGAUGAAGGCUGGAGGAUCUGGACCUGUUUAUUGGCACUGGCUUGCAAGUCAUGGCAAGCAGAAUGGAAGCCUCUCUCCAGCUCCAAGUUGAAUAAUUGGAAACACAAAAGUGAUUUGGUAGAGAGAAUGGCAAGUGAUUUGUAUAACCCUGCAAUAAAACCGGCAACAAAAUCCAGUAAGGUUGAUAAGUUGUCGGACUUGUAGCUCCGAUCGUUAAAAGUAGUUACCCUUGUUUCAAGGUGGAUUAGGAUUUUUUUUUUUAGGGAUGAUUUAUGAAUGGGGGUAAGGCUAGCCGACAUUCACCUUUCCCAGAUCCUGCGUAAAGCGGGAGCCUUGUGCACUGGGUACAACCUUUAAGGGAUGAUUUAUGAAUGAUGAACUAAAAUAUAAACGUUUUUAAUCGUUGAAAAAAGUUACAGAGUGAACACCACAAGGUGCCCCUGAAAUAAACAAAAGAACCCUAAUUUUGAAUCUAGGUAAAUUCGACAAUUUAGACUUUUUGACGGGAAGAUCACGUAUGGAUUUUUAGAAUUUUGGUGAAAGAGAAAGACAGAGCAAUCAUAAACAUUAGGGUUAAAGAUGAUGAUACAAGUAAUUUUUCAACAUCAUGAUACAACUAUCCGUACAAGUACAGCAACUAUUAGUACUUGUGUCACAUCUUGUUCUCUACCAGUAUGUGAAUCACCUACAAAACUGAGGUCAGGUUCUACAGUAUGCAGACUGGAUGCGGAUGCCCGAAUGAGCAGGCAAGCCUCACGAACUAGGCCAUUCAUACGCCUUCGAAGUAAAAGCAGACUACUACUCGGGGCAGAGUCUAUUCAGCCGGAUAACUUGCACGAUGUUCUCUUUAACUGACUUCCGACAUGAUGGAUCUACUAAUCGUCUAGUUAACUUCUCAAUGUCAGCAUGUUGAAAAAUCAAGAGACGAGCCUUGAAGUAAGAUGCAAAUGAGAGCUACGAUUGUGUUGCGAUCAAAGCACUUAUGGAAAUUAAGUUAUCAAUAUUGGAUGUUAAUAAAGACUAAGAAAUAUGCUCAAAUCUCACCUUAAUGGUAGCGACAUCGGUUGAGGAUGGUUUCAAAUCCAAUGCAUAACUGAAAUGAAGCAUUGCUUUCUCAUGCAUGUUACGCCGCUUAUAGAUCUUACCCAUCAAAGCGUAGACACUACUUUCACGAGGAGAGUAUUCUUUAACCUCCUCUAAGACCGCUAAAGCUUCAUCGAACUUUUCUAAGCUCAUUAGUAUACUAGCCUUAUGAUACAUUGGAAGUGGAUUCUUCUUAUCCGCCCUAAUAGCCUUCUCCAUCAUCACUAGAGCUUCUUCGCUUCUCUGUCAUAUGAUACAAACACAUUUCAGACGAUUGGAUAAUAAAAUAAGAAUCAUUUCGUAAAUCAAAAGAUUUCUAGGCUGUAACAUUAGAAUGGAUAUGCGAAUGUAACCUUUAAAGCGUGCAGUGCUGAGGGAAGAUAAGUCAUUAUAACAGAAGAACGUGAAUUGAUUUGGAAAUAUUGGAAGCUUCCUUAAAGUUAUGGAAUUAAAUUGGAUUUGGACUUGGUUGACUCAAAGAUUAAAACUUUAGUCCAUUUUCCUGUAUUUUCUCGGAAACCAAACAGAGGGUUAUUUUGGUUUUUCUGUUUUCUGUUCAUAAACUUUGGUUUAGUUAGUAGAUCGUUGAACAUUGUCAGGACGAAAUUUAAUUAAGAAAGAUAUUAAGGUCUGAUUUUUUUUUUUUGGGGUCUUUCAUAAAUGAAACCUUGACUUACUUAUCGUUGUGAUGAUUAAUCGAGAAUUUAUAAGGAGCUUGUCUUUUGAGCAGUUGUAAAGAGUUUGGAUGAAUAACCAGUCUACCGGGCGUAACCAGAGACCUGCCAAAGGGUUGAAGGUGAAACAGGAAAUUCAGAUUGCAUUGAUUUUGGCUGUUUGCUUCUGGUUGCUAUACGAGAUGAAGCAGUCACAUGACAAGGACUAUAGUGAAAGUUCAAAGGACAAGGCCAGCGAAGAACGUGGUUCUGAUAUUUUAGGGCCGAAGGGGAGUGCAGGGUGGUUAAAAGGUGGAGUUGUGUCUGCAUCAGAAGAUCUGAAACAUGUAGGAGAAGUAAGUGUGUUGAUGCACAAAACCGGAGGUCUUGGAGCAACGUAAAUCCGACCGUGAAUCUGCAAGAAAUGUAAAUAACACAAGAUGUAUCGUGGUUCACCCCAAUGUUUGGGCUACGUCCACACUGAUAUUUGUAUUUUUCUGUUUGUGAGGGAGAGAGAUGGAGAGAGCUUUUGAGGGUGACAGAGCCCUUCCAUGGCCUAAGAAUUGGUCUCCCCUAAUGAGGAGAGUGAGGAGUCAUUUUAUAGAAUAAGGGCUCCUCACUUAUUACAUAUUUGCUCAUUCAUUUAUUACAUAAUUACAUUUGAGUCCUCCGAGUAUUUAUACUAGAUCUAAAUACAGAGGCCCUAAGUAUGUUACAAACAGUAGUCCCCCAAGUCUUCAGUCAAGAGAGUCUUUUGGCUGGAGACUUGAAAUUCAGUCCAUAUGUGGGCCGAAGUAACUAGAUGUCGUCUAGAACUGAUACUUGAUAUGAGGCGGUGCUCAAUCUGAAAUGAUGCUCAACUAGAAGUAGCACAUGUUGCGAGGCAGCUCUGCUUGUGGCUUAUGGUGCCUUGGUUGGCUUGGCUUGUAGCGUUGAAGGUGAGGGAGUCCCUUUUAUAAAAUAAGGGCUCGCUCCUUAGUACAUGAAUAAUGGGUUACGAGUGAUGCUCGCGGCGAGGCGGUUGCUCAACAGGCGGCGAUGCUAUCUAAUGAUGGUGAGGGAGUCCCUUUUAUAAAAUAAGGGCUCGCUCCUCAAUACAUAAAUAAUGGGUGCUCUCUAAUGAAAGUGAGGGAGUCCAUUUUAUAGAAUAAGGGCUCGCUCCUCAAUACAUAAGUGAUGGGCUAAGUCCCCCAAGUAUUUUUCAUGAGGCCCAGUUGAGGCCCAAUAUAUGGUACAUAAUGUAGUCCUCCAAGUCUUCAGUCAAUAGAGGUUGUUGGCUGGAGACUUUCAAAUUCAAGCCAUGUAUGGGCCAAAGUGGCGGUUGUUCGGAUGCGGUCUUUGUAGACCAUGCACUGAAGCUUUAUAUGUGAAGCUUUGAAAGUGAAGCUUUGAAACUGGAGCUUUUGUAAAGAAGCUUUUGAAGCUGGAGCUUUUGUAAAAGAAGCUUUUGAAGCUGGAGCUCUGUAAAUGAAGCUUUCGAAGCUGAUUGACAUGAGUGAUGCUCAUGAAUAUUUAUGUUGAUUGACAUGAGUGAUGCUCAUGGAUGUUGACAUAAGUGAUGCUCAUGAAUGUUAACAUGAGUGAUGCUCAUGAAUGUUAACAUGAGUGAUGCUCAUGAAUGUUGACAUGAAUGAUGGUCAUAAAUGUUUAUGUAUGAUUGACAUGAGUGAUGCUAAUGAAUGUUUAUGUAUGAUUGACAUGAGUGAUGCUCAUGAAUGUUUAUGUAUGAUUGACAUGAGUGAUGCUUAUGUAUAAUUUUGGAGUAUUGGACGUACUUUUGAUCACUUGGUUGGUGAUAAUAACGGCAGGCUGCUGAAUAAUUUUGGAGUACUGGGCGUACUUUUGAUCACCUGGUUGGUGAUAAGAGCGGCAGGUUGCCAAAUAAGUUUGGAGUACUGGACGUACUUUUGAUCACCUGGUUGGUGAUAAUAGAGGGCUUGGCUCUUUUGGGCAUAUGGGCAUUCACCCUCCACCUAACAUUCCAGCCCAUUAUUUUGGGCUUGACGUUUUUUUUUUUUUUUUUACCCUCUGAUGGGGUUAUACAAAUGUCUCCUAAAGAUAAGAAAAAUAAACAUCAUUCAAAAAUAAGAAAAGUAAAUCACAUCUUUCUGGUGGAGUGUUUAUUCCUUGCUUUUGCAGUGUCCCCAUGUGCCUCCCUUUUGCUUUCUGCUUUUUCUCGGUUUUUUCUGCUUUGCUUUUGCUUUUCUUCUUUUCUCUUUUCCUUUAUUCCACUUUUGCUUUCUCAGAAAAUGAAGAUGCAGGGGAUGGGUCAUUGAUCUCAUCUAGCAGGUUAUCUGCAGCAUACAGAGCAUCUUUGAUCUACACUAGCUUCCCUGCAAUUUGUCGAGGUACUAGGGCUGGCCAUGGCCCCUCUUGAUCGCUUCCAGGAGAUCGAAAGAUUGAGAAUCGGACGGCGGAGCCUUACCGGAGAUCCAUCGCCGCUGAAACGAGAGGGAAUCAGAGACCGACGGACGGCGGAGAUCGGAUACGAUCAAACAUCGACGGCAGCCAUCGGACCUCAAAAUCCGUGGUAGUUUCAUCCUCUCUCUCACUCUCUCUGGAGUUCGUCUCUACCUCACUCUCGCGAGAUAUGGAUUCAUCCCUGAAAUGUUGUAGAAAUCAUCUGAUAUCUUGAUAUCUUGUCAUUGUAAGACAAGCAGCCACUGACCCAUAGCCGACACGACACCGUCUCAGCAUCAGUAACCUCAAGUUGAGUAGUAAUCUCGUGCAAGAACAAUGUUUCAGCACCCAAAGUAGCUUGAGAACAACAUCUUGGCAAAAAAAAGCUGCAAAUAAUAACUUUCCUUAUACCUCUGAGACAAUCUCACUUUAGCACUCUCAUGUUCCACAUUUUUCUCUGUUCAAGGCUCUUACCACAGAAUACAAACAUGCACGGAGAUGUGACAUGCAGAACUCGGAGGUGGAUAAACUUGAUGGAAUCUGUGAUUCGAGAGCUGAAAGAAGGUUGAAUGACGCAUCGAUCUCGGAUCUGAGAUGAGGAGGAUAGGGAUGAAGGCAGGCUCUCGAGCAUCUCGCCAUGAGAGAUUGAUGAGAGAAUGACAGGAAAAAGAUCACUCGUCUUUGGGAAGUGGUUAGCCCUGACUUGGACCUUCUCGCCGACCUUCCCGUAGCCAGGCCUAGCUGGACACACGGCGGGCUUCGACGACGACGGUGGCGGGGCGGUCAGCAUCAGUUUCAAGAGAGGAGGAAAAGCUCAUCCAAGCUGUUGAAUACAUUGAUGAUGAGAUUGUCAUUGGUGAUGGAGUGGAUGUCUGACUGAGAGAUUUUGAAGUCGUUGGGACGGGUUGAAAUUGGAGCAAUCAGAGAGAAGCAGAGUUGCGGAUGGUGACUUCAGUGUGGGUUUUCUGCUGUUCUAAAAUGACGACGAUUCGGUCCCUCCGGAGCCGCACGAACAGGACAACGGUGGAUCGGGCCUGGUGGUCGUCCCAGAUCAUGACUUUAUUGGUCGGGUACUGAGGGUCGGGUCUACCGCCGAGGGUCAGAGUUAGGGUUGGGCCAUGAAUGUGUUGGUUUAUGUCUGGGCUGCUUGGAGAAUUUGGCCACAGAAAGAGGGGUUUUUGGUUUCUUGGUUUUGCAGAUUCAUGGUGGAGGUUGUGAAGUUCUCACGGUGGUGAGAUGGAAAAUGAAAGAUAACCAACAUAGCUUUUCGUGUCGAUUCCCAUAGACGGCACCAAAUGUUGAUGCACAAAGUCGGAGGUCUCAGAGCAACGUAAAUCCGACCGUGAAUCUGCAAGAAAUGUAAAUAACACAAGAUGUAUCGUGGUUCACCCCAAUGUUUGGGCUACGUCCACACUGAUAUUUGUAUUUCUCUGUUUGUGAGGGAGAGAGAUGGAGAGAGCUUAUGAGGGUGAGAGAGCCCUUCCAUGGCCUAAGAAUUGGCCUCCCCUAAUGAGGAGAGUGAGGAGUCCUUUUAUAGAAUAAGGGCUCCUCACUUAUUACAUAUUUGCCCCUUCAUUUAUACAUAAUUACCUUUGAGUCCCCCGAGUAUUUAUACGAGAUCUAAGUACGGAGGCCCUAAGUAUGGUACAAACAGCCUCAAAUCCAGUUUUUCAUGCUCGCACAAAGCAUGUGGAAAUUGAUUACCAUUACAUUCGUGAACUCGUUCUUGCCAAACUGCUCCGAGUACAAUAUCUCAAUACUCAGCAUCAAGUUGCUGAUAUCCACACUAAAUCUCUUUCCAAAGCUCGGUUUCAAUAUCUUCAAUCCAAGCUUUGACUCGGUUCUCCUCCGUUUAGCUUGAGGGGGUGUAAAGAGGCAUAUAAAUAGUUGGUUUAAUUUUUGUUACAAGUGUGUUACAACUGUCCUUGUAACUAAUUACUAGAUUAGUGAGUUAACUAGAUGUAAUUAGUUACUAAGCUAUUUUUCUCUGCUGUAUAUAAACCCAUUGUAAUUUCUUAUUCAUUAAGAAAUGAAAUAUCAGAGUUAUUUCUUAUAGCUAGAGCAAGGGAAAGAGGAGAGAAAGAUUGGAAUCGAGAGGGAGUAGGACAGAAAAAAGAGAGAGAUAGAGACUGGAAUUGAGAUGUCUAAUCUGGAAGAAGGAAGGGUGGGACGGAGAAGGCUAUUAGGGCGGAUAAGAAGAAUAUUCCCCUCGUGAAAGUAGUGUGUACGCUUUGAUGGGUAAGAUCUAUAAGCGGCGUAACAUGCAUGAGAAAGAAAUGCUUCAUUUCGGUUAUGCAUUGGAUUUGAAACCAUCCACAACUGAUGUCGCUACCAUUAAGGUGAGAUUUGAGCAUAUUUCUUAGUCUUUAUUAACAUCCAUUAUUGAUAACUUUCCAUAUGCGCUUUGAUCCAACACAAUCGUAGCUCUCAUUUGCAUCUUACUCCGAGGCUUGUCUCUUGAUUUUUCAACAGGCUGACAUUGAGAAGUUACAUGUACCUGAUGAACUAGACGAUGAGUAGAUCCAUCAUGUCGGAAGUCAGUUAAAGAGAACAUCAUGCAAGUGAGUAGCGGUCUGCUUGUGCUUUCGAAGGCGUAUGAAUGGCCUAGUUCGUGAGGCUUGCCUGCUCAUUCGGGCACCCGCAUCCAGUCUGCAUACUGGAGAACCUGACCUCAGUUUUGUAGGUCAUUCACGUACUGGUAGAGAACAAGAGGUGGCACAAGUACUAACAAGUAAUAGCUGCUGUACUUGUACGGAUAGUUGUAUCAUGAUGUUGAAAAAUUACUUGUAUCAUCAUCUUUAACCCUAAUGUUUAUGACUGUAAUCUGCCUUGCUCUUUCACCAAAAUUGUAAAAAUCCAUACGUGAUCUUCCCAUCAACGAGUCUGAAUCGUCGAAUUUACCCAAAUUCAAAACUAGGGUUCUUUUGUUUAUUUCAGGGACACCUUGUGGUGUUUACUCUCAUUUUUUUCAAUGAUCAAAACUGUUUAUAUUUUUUAGUUCAUUAUUCAUAGAUCAUCCCUCCAAAAAAUUAGGUAAAUCCAAAUCCACCUUGAAACAGGGGUAACUACUCUUAACGACUAGAGCUACAAGUCCGACAACUUAUCAACCUUACUGGAUUUUGUUGCCGGUUUUAUUGCAGGGUUAUACAAAUCACUUGCCAUUCUCUCUACCAAAUCACUUUUGUGUUUCCAAUUAUUCAACUUGGAGUUCAAGAGAGGCUUCCAUUCUGCUAGCCAUGACUUGCAAACCAGUGCCAAUGAGCAGGUCCAGAUCCUCCAGCCUCAAUCCCUCCACUGGUUCAACUUCAUACUUCCACACAAUCAUACACCCGGCG